RNAcentral lists this long non-coding RNA (54717 nucleotides) under Ananas comosus (pineapple). RNAcentral's name for it is "long non-coding RNA (ACOM_LNC005506)". Lineage: Eukaryota; Viridiplantae; Streptophyta; Magnoliopsida; Poales; Bromeliaceae. The record is from RNAcentral.
GCUUAGCUAGCUAGCGAGGAGCGGUUCUUUGCCUAGGUGGUUUGCUCUUUCUUUUUGUAGUUGGGAGAGUAAGAGAUUUCUGUAUACAUGUAUAGAGACCACCUAUAUACCUACUUUUAGCACUUGCAAUUGGGAUUUCCUAUUGUAUUUACUUUAUGCCUUAUUUAGUGGAUUUACAGUUUAUCCUUAUCCUUGGUUGUAGCAUUUAGACAUUUAUUAUGCUCUGAUACUUCUAGAUGUCUUUUAUUAUUGCUUUCAUUAUUGUUGUUUUAGACGCCUUAUACGUUUUAGACGUAUGGCGGGUCUGGGCACGUGUCGGGCAGGCUUCCGCUGGGUCCCGGGGCGUGACAGUCGCAUUGCGCGCAGCAGCUCUGGCUGCGCUGGGAGAGCUCUCGGAGACUGGUCCCUAGUCGGGGAGACCGGUCCCCGAGCCCGAAAUCUGCCCAGUCCAGGCAGUUGAAUAAGAUGAAAGUUGAGGGGUUUAUUUGCAUUUUGGCAACCCAAUAGUUAUGUAUUGGGGCCUAAUGAGAUUUUCUCUCAUUUUUACCCUCUCAUCCCCUCUCAUCUCUCUUUCUCUCUCUAGAAGGCAAAGAAGGAGAAGAAGAAGAGAAGGAAAAGAAGGAAAAGAAGAGGAAGAAAAUAGAGAAGAAGAAUAGGAAGUGAAGAAACUCCCUCUCCCUCAUCUCUAGCUUGGAAAGAGAAAGCUUACAAGGUAAGCUUUGAACCCUAAUCAUGCUAAAACCCUAAACUGGGGGCUAUGUGACCUAGAAAUGGUUUUUAUAGAGCAUUUUGAGUUUUUGAAACUUUUCUUUUGCUUCUUUAGAGGUCAAAACCAUGAAAUGGGGGUAAUGGGUAAAGCUUGAAGGUGAGCUUGACCCCUCUCAUGGUAGAAUCCAAACUAUGGUUUGGAUUGAAUUAAAGAUGGUUUAGAUGGACUAUUUAGAGUAUAAUGAAGCUACUUUUGCUUCCCAAUGAGAUCAAACCCUAGGUUUGAUGUAUGCUAUGGAGCUAGAGCACCCAAAUUGGAGCUUUUGCUCAUGAGGGUUCCUAAGUGAAAUUGACCCUCUAAAAACCUAAUUGGGGGUAUUUCCGACUUGUUGAUGCGCUCGGAAUAGCAUUACGAAAAGUGUAUGUAAAGUUAUGGCCAAAUAAGCCUAAUUUGGCUUCGUUAUACCGCAGGUAGUGAACCGGGUAUCUAAAAAUCCCAAGAAAAUCGUCGGAGCACCUUUGGAAGCCUACGAGGUGGGUGGUGCUUCUCAAACUCCUUGAACUUCUCUCUAUGCCUAAUGUGUCAUUCAUUUGAGCAUAUGUAUAUACAUNUUCGAGACAGAUAUUGUACUACUUAUGACUCCUUUUAUUGUCUAGCUUUACUUCUUUACUUUGGUGUAGAUGUUAGAACUAUACUCGCUCUGAUAUCAUUAGUUGCUAGUUAUUUCACUUCUGCUAUUUGUCCUACUACUUGCUUUUACUUCCGCUUUUAGUAUAGACGCCUUAUAUGUGUAGACAUAUGGCGGGUCUGGGCACGCUACCAGGAGGGCCUCCGCCGGUCCCGGGGCGUGACACCGGGUAUGCUUCCACCGAUACCCGGGCGUGACAGAUUAUAGUGGUAUCAGAGCCUAGAGUUAAGUCUUAUUGGACCUAGCGAACCUUAGGCUGGUUGGACUAUAAGAAUAGGCUCGUGAGAGACGAGGUCUAGUUUAGUUUUUAGCGAAAGUACUUUGAUUGGGUAAUUUAUAAACUCCGAAUGGUAGGAGUUGAUUGAAAUAUGCAAUUUCUAACUUUGCGGAGAGCCACGUUGGCGGCCGACAAUGUGACAUCGGAAGUUAGUAUGUUUUACAUUUCAUUACUUUCGCUUGAUUGGGUGGUUAAUAUAAUGAGUAGGGGUUCAAUAGUGUAAGUUCUAUUAAUUUAUGUUUAUUUUUGCUGCAGCUUAAGAUGCCUACUACUCGUUCUAUGGCUACUGGAGCAGCCAAGGCAGCUGAUGCAGAGGAAGUGGAGACCUCCGUUACUUCCGGAUCUAGUGAGGUCCGUGAGUUGCAGGAUCAGCUUGCAGUAUUGACGGAUCUAGUGACACAGCAGGCUGCAGCAGCUCGACAACAGAUGGAUGCCGCGCGCCGACAGGAGGAAAGAAUGAAGAGGUUAGAGGAUUUGCUACUGCGACAGACAACUGAUAGAGAGGGCCCGAGUUCGGUGCCAACAGUACCUGAGAGGGACACGAUUGCGAGGGUACAGUCACCAGCACCAGAUACUUCACCGGCAGCCCCGCGCGCUGAGCACCAACCGGGGACCGUAGUACCACCCCUAGUGCCUGUGGCUGCGACAGGGACAGUGUUACCAGAGAUGGUAGGGGCUGAGGAGUAAGAGCAGAUGAUGGAGCGAUUGAAUGAAUUUCGCCGUUGCAAUCCUCGUGUAUUCGACGGCGAAAAAGGUGAUCAUUGGGUAGUUGAGAAGUGGCUAAUGCACAUGGAAAAGUUAUUUUACGAUACCUUUGUAGAGGAGCGAGACCGAGUCUGGUUUGCGACACACCAUAUGGAUGGCGAGGCCUAUAGGUGGUGGUUAGACAUUCGUGAGGAUCCCUGUACUGAUCUAUCUGCGAUCACUUGAAGAGAUUUAAGGAAUUAUUGUUGACAACCUACUUCCCGCAAAGUGUAAAGAGACAAAUGGAGAGGGAUCUGAGAAAUUUGAGGCAGGAGGAUAGGACAGUGGUUGAGUAUGAGCGAGAGUUUUCUCGACUACUAUAUUGUGUUCCUUUCGUGGUCAAGGAUGACGAGGAUAAGGCCCGUAUCUUUGAGGUGGGUUUGCGACCUGCGAUUUUCAGGUUGGUCCAGGCGUCAAACCUAUCGACUUACAAGGAGGUAGUAAAUCGGGCACUGAUUGUUGAGAAGGGGGCAGAGAUUGUGAAGGAAAGGAAAAUUGUGGAUCGAAAUAAAGGAAAGAGGCCAGGGGUGGAGAGUCGUGGUCAGCAAUCGUUCAGGGGACCGCCAAAGUAUCCGAGAGGCCAGCCAAGUCAGUCGAGGGGACGAGGUUCUUUUGCACCCCGUAGAGCACCUAAGCGUCAUCGACAGUCGCGUUGUGUGAUUUGUAGUGGUCCUCAUUUUCCACCGCAAUGCCCACAACAUGGGGGCAAGUGCUUUCUUUGUGGUCAGGAGGGCCACUUUCGGUCUGAGUGCCCGAGGGCUUCGUCACACGCACCAUCGUCAGCAUCAGCACCUGCAUCUUCAGCUCCGAGUCAGGGGACUCCGUCAGCACAGUACCAAUCGAGACGACCACCCGAACAGCGGCAGUCAGAGAGUUCUCGACAGGGUUCAAGUGGGCAUAUGUAUGCCGCCCAGACUGAGGAGGCCGCGGCAGCAGAAGAGGUUGUAGCAAGUGUUAUUUUGAUUCGUGAUGUUCAUGUUCGUGCAUUAUUCGAUACUGGCGCAUCGCAUUCUUUUAUCGAUCGGCUAUUUGCCGAGUUGCAUAGCAUUUAGUUAGUACCUACUUUGCAUCCGAGACGAGUAAUCAUGCCCGACCAUACCCUGGAUAUUCAUGAGUAUUGCCCUCGCUGCCCAGUUCGGGUAGGUGAUUGGAUUAUGCCAGUGAACUUAUUAGCACUACACAAACUAGGUGAGUUUGAUGUAGUUUUAGGUAUGGACUGGUUGACACAAUACUAUGCUAUUAUAGAUUGCACAAAUCGAACGUUGACCUUUAAGGAACCAUGUCAGCAGGAAGUGGUGUACAGGGGAUGCCAGAGUUCAUUGUUCGCAAUGACAAUUAGUUCUUCGCGAGCACGACAAUUGAUACGGAGGGGUUGCGUGGCCUAUUUGGCUAAUAUCUCUGUCAGUAACGGAGGAGUUACUAGUAUUGAUGAUAUCUCGGUAGUACGGGAAUUUCGUGAUGUGUUUCCAGCUGAAUUACCUGGAAUGCCGCCUAAUAGGGAAGUUGAGUUUGUGAUAGAUCUUGUUCCUGGGACUGCCCCAAUCUCAAAAGCACCCUAUAGGAUGGCACCUGUUGAGUUGAAAGAGCUGAAGGCACAGUUACAGGAUCUUUUGGAUAAAGGUUUUAUUCGACUGAGUGUAUCACCCUGGGGAGCACCGGUGUUAUUCGUUAAGAAGAAAGAUGGAUCCUUUCAAUUGUGCAUGGAUUAUCGGGAAAUUAACAAAGUCACAACCAAGAAUAAGUAUCUACUACCACGAAUUGACGAUUUAUUUGACCAGCUCCAAGGAUCGCAAGUGUACUCCAAGAUUGAUUUACAAUUUGGAUAUCAUCAGUUGAAGAUCAAGCCCAAAGAUGUAUCUAAGACUGCUUUCAGAACAUGGUAUGGUCAUUAUGAAUUCACAGUUAUGCCAUUUGGAUUGACUAAUGCCCCGGCAGCUUUUAUGAAUUUAAUGAAAUGUGUUUUAAGCCCUAUUUGGACAAGUUUGUGGUCGUAUUCAUCGACGAUAUCUUGAUCUAUUCCCAAAGUGACGAGGAGCAUGAAAACCAUUUAAGACUGGUGUUGCAAAUACUUCGAGAAAAGAAACUAUUUGCAAUGUUAACAAAAAAAAAAAGCAAAUUUUGGCUUCGAGAAGUAGCAUUUCUGGGACAUGUAAUUUCAGAAGUCGGGAUAGCUGUGGAUCCAAAGAAGAUUGAAGCAAUUAAGAAUUGGCCUAGGCCGACCAGCAUUACAGAGAUUCGGAGUUACCUUGGUUUGACAGGAUACUACCGAAAGUUUGUAGAAGGAUUUGCGAAGAUGUCAACUCGUCUCACUCGACUCACACAUAAAGGGGCGAAGUUUAUAUGGAAUGAGGUCUGUGAAAUUCGACCUCUUAGAAAUGUUAAUGUGAUAGAAUUACGUAGGAUUUGAAGUGGAGUGCUCCUAGCUAAUCAUGUAUUGAUUACUAGGGCUUUCGGAGAAUUGUGAAGAUCCAUACCCAUAGGUCGAACGUGAAUCGUCGGUUAAUAGGUGGGUUUGACCUCACCAGAGUAAGUGAAUUCCCCUAUGUUCUAUAUGUUACUAUAGGACUAUUAAUUAUAUGCAAUUGAAUUACUUUGGCGGUUUUAUUUGAAGGCAUUGACAAUCAACUCAACUUAAUAUUUAACAGUGAGUGAUUUUGUUAUGUUUUAAUAAAGUAGAGAACAAAUUAUUCGAUUGUGACCUGACCAGUGUUGUAUUAUUAAAAGACAAGUUUACCUUGCGAAUAACACAUGUAAAUUAGCAUCUUUAUUAUGUGGUUAUUGAUCUAGUGGAUACUAGCAUUUCUUAUUGUACAGAGAAUCCGACCUAUUGGCCGAGAGUAAAAAACUUACAUACUUGAUAUAUGAUGAUUGAAGCGGUUGGACUAUGAUUUAUGCUUGCUUGCCAUUGUGCUCAUUCGCACAAGCUUGUGAGGGUCGCGCCUUACAAGCCAACACUCCGGAGUUGGCCUACGCGACAGACUGCUUGCCCAUGCGGGAUUGGGUGCCGAAGUCGAUUGCCGUGGGGAGUGCAUACUACCACGGGGCCAUUAGGCGCGGCGCAAGCUGGACUACCUGGUGUAGGUCCUUAUGAAUUGAACCAAGUUACUAAAAGAUAGUAAUAAAUAAUUACUAUUAUACAGUGUACAGCUACCUUUAAUACGACAUGUUCAAGCUUUAAGUAAUUACUUUACUUGUUUCUACUUGUUUGACAUAGUUGAUAGCAUCAUACAUGUUCAUCGUUAUUUGUUGUUGAAUUAUCUCGCACACAAUAAAUGUUUUUACAUUUAUAAUAGUACAUCAUGAGCCUAGUGGUGUAACUCGCCAAGGCUGGCGGCUUACCCACUGGGAACUAUUGUUUAAUAGUUCUCACGCCCUUUUUAUUAUUGUUUUUACAGAGCCACCUACUACAGGAGAGGCUAGGGAUCGUGGCAAGGGAGUCGCGUCUAGCUAGAUAUAGCUUGGAGCUUGACUAGAUGAUCAUCUUGCUACUCGGGCUACGACCGAGGGUUAUGUACCCGUGUACAGAAAAACUACCAUUGUACAUAUAUUUUGAGUGACCUUGUGAUGUAUUUACGGUUUGUACCUGGGAUGACAGUUUUGGUGUUUCUCUGUGGAAUAGAAGAAUUCGGGACUGUACAGACUUGCACUUUCUUCUGAUAGUGGUAUUAUUGAUUUGUACUUUGCUCUGAUCAUCUUCACUUGUUUAAUAUGAUUUUAUAAACGUCUUAUAUACUACAGGUAUAUGACGGGUCUAUACAUGUACCAGGUAUGCUUCCGCUGAUACCCGGACGUGACAGUUCCGCUCAUUCCGACGGAACUCGGCACGAUUUACGCGGAAUGUGGUAUGUUACAUUCUCCACCCCCUAAAUUUAGUUUCGUCCGCGAAACUACUUAUCUACUAAUCGAGAUUCACCUCAACGCAGUUCCUCGAAGAGAUCAGGGUAACGCUCCUUCAUCACGUCCUCAAGCUCCCAAGUCUCUUCUCGGUCGCCGUGCUCGCACCAAUGAAUUUUAACAUACGGGAUUUCGCGGUUCCGUAGUUUCCUCACUUCUCGAUCGACGAUAUAAGCCAGGGACUCCUCAUAAGUCAUGUCCUCUUGAAGCUCCAUCGGUACAUAUGCGAGAACAUGCUCGGGGUCGUAAACAUACUUGCGGAGUUGAGAUACAUAGAAUACAUCGUGCACUCCCGCAAGCCUCGGUGGUAAUGCUAACUUAUAAGCCAUCGCGCCAAUCCGUUCUAGAAUCUCAAAGGAUCCGAUAUAGCGGGGACUUAGCUUCCCUCGAACACAGAAUCGCUUGACUCCUCGCAUAGGCGUCACCUUUAGAAAUACGCGGUCUCCAACAGUGAACUCGAUAUCUUUCCUUCGCUUGUUGGCAUAACUUUUGUGCCUCGAUUGCGCCGUUGCUAACCUUUGUCGGGCAAGGCGAACUUUCUCCUCCGCCUCACGCACAACAUCUGGGCCAAGAACAGUCCUCUCGCCCACAUUGCUCCAAUGAAUCAGCGAGCGACACUUUCUUCCAUAGAGGGCCUCGAAUGACGCCAUCGCAAUACUUUCUUGAUAGCUAUUGUUGUAUGCGAAUUCCGCCAUUGGUGAAUGAUCGUGCUAUUCGCCCUUAUAGUCAAGUACACACGCCCGAAGCAUAUCCUCAAGUAUUUGAAUAGUUCUCUCUGAUUGACAGUCACUUUGAGGAUGAAAUGCCGUGCUAAAGUCGAGCCGUGUGCCUAACACGUCUUGCAAGCUCCUUCAAAAAUGAGAUGUAAACCGCGGAUCCCGAUCCGACACAAUGGAUACCAGUACCCCGUGUAAUCUCACCACCUCGUCAAUAUAAACUUGAGCGAGCUUGUCUCCCGUCCAGGUAGUGUGGAUCGGCAAAAAGUGUACCGAUUUUGUCAACCGGUCCACAACUACCCAAAUCGCGUCAUGUCCACCUUGUGAUCUAGGCAAACCUGUCACAAAGUCCAUUGCGAUGUUUUUCCACUUCCACAAGAGUAUAGGUAGACUUUGCAACUUCCCCGCCGGAAAUCGACAUUCUGCCUUAACUAGUUGGCACGUGAGACAUUGCGCCACAAACUCUCCUAUAUCUUUCUUCAUGCCCGGCUAUCAAUAAUGUAGCUUCAAAUCUCGAUACAUUUUAGUGCCGCCCGGGUGAAUACUAUAAGGAGAUUGAUGAGCUUCUUGCAUAACCACCCUUCUAAGUUCGUCGUUCUUGGGCACACACCAACGGUUUCGAAAUAGUAGUGUGCCAUCGGUUCCAAUGCUAAACUCAUUAGUAUUACCAUUCUCAACUUUGCUCCACACUUUUUGGAGAAAUUCAUCAGACGCUUGCAAUUCUUUAAUCUUCUCCAAUAAGGUUGGUUGCACUAUCAAUGUGGCUAACGUUGCCGGCACACCCGGCGCCACAACCUCAAGACCAAACCGAUGCAUUUCUUUUUGCAAAGCCGAUUGAGGUGUAUCGGCCGUCGCCAAAUUUUUCGCCGACUUUCUACUUAAAGCAUCGGCUACGACAUUUGCCUUCCCGGGGUGGUCUAGGAUAGUGACGUCAUAGUCUUUAAGCAACUCCAACCAUCGCCGCUGUCGCAAAUUCAGUUCCUUCUGGGUGAACAGGUAUUUGAGACUCUUAUGAUCGGUGUAGAUCUCGCAAUGCUCACCAUACAAGUAAUGCCUCCACAAUUUUAGCGCGAAGACAACCGCCGCUAGCUCAAGAUCGUGGGUCGGGUAGUUCUUUUCAUAUGUCUUCAACUAGCGUGAAGCAUAUGCUAUAACUCGGCCCUUUUGCAUCAAGACACACACGAGACCAAUGUACGAAGCAUCACUAUAUACGACAUAACUCUCCCCCAGUGUCGGCAAGGCAAGCACCAGAGUAGAUGUCAACCUAUUCUUUAGCUCCUCAAAGCUUAGCUCACACUCGGGGCUCCAAACAUACUUCACCCCUUUGUGCGUAAGGCGUGUUAGUGGAGUUGUUAUCCUAGCAAACCCUUCCACGAACCGCCGGUAGUAGCCCGCAAGUCCAAGGAAGCUAUGAAUUUCCACCACACUUGUCGGGCGAGGCCAAUCUUUAAUCGCCUCAACUUUCUUUGGGUCCACCGAGAUGCCUUCACUGGAUAUAACGUGACCCAAGAAGGUAAUCUCCGAAAGCCAAAACUCACACUUCUUGAGUUUUGCAUACAGCUUUUCCUUCCGGAGUAUAUCCAACACAAGCCUUAAAUGCUCAUCGUGUUCUUCCUUCGUCCGAGAAUAUACCAAUACGUCGUCAAUGAAAACCACGACGUACCAGUCCAAUAGCGGACGGAAGACUCGAUUCAUCAAGUCCAUAAAGGCUGCCGGGGCAUUGGUAAGCCCAAACGACAUCACCAUGAACUCAUAGUGGCCAUAUCGCGUACGGUACGCUGUUUUGUGCACAUCCUUGGGCCGUAUCUUCAAUUGAUGAUACCCCGACUGAAGAUCAUUCUUAGAAUAUACCCUUGACCCUUGCAACUGAUCGAAUAGAUCGUCAAUCCUUGACAAUGGGUAUUUAUUCUUAAUCGUCACCUUGUUCAACUCACGAUAAUCAACGCAAAGUCAAAGAGUGCCGUCUUUCUUCUUCACAAAUAGCACCGGAGCUCCCCACGGAGACACACUCGGCCGCACGAAGCCUUUAUCGAGCAAGUCUUAUAACUGGGCUUUUAGCUCCUUUAACUCUACCGAUGCCAUUCUAUACGGAGCCUUCGAAACCGGCGCCGCCCCAGGAAUCAAGUCAAUGACAAAUUCGACUUCCCGGUCCGGUGGCAAUCCCGGUAACUCCACCGGAAAUACAUCCGGAUACUCGCAUACCACCCGAGUACUUUCCAACUCCGGGUGCUCCUUUUGAGGGUCCACGAUAGUCGCCAAGUAGGCCUUGCAACCACCCUUAAUCAUUUUCUUUGCCCUCACCAAUGAUAUGGUCGCCGCAAAAUGCGCACCAUUACACGCCUUAUAAACCAUCUCCUCUUGGUUAGGCUCACGGAAAGUGAUCACCUUCCUUUUGCAAUUGAUAACCGCGUAAUACUUGGAGAGCCAGUUGGUAACCAAGAUUACGUCAAACCCCACAGAUGCUUCAACACUAAUAGGUUGAUCGACAUGACCCAAUCGCCUAUCUGCACUGGGCAGUCCAAAUACUCGUCAUGCACAUGAAACGUAAGUCCAGGUGCUGUCACCGUCCAAUAAUCCUCAUAAUGCGUGACCUCUAUGUCAUGAGCUAGUGCAAAUGAUGCUGUUAUGAAUGAUUGAGNCUCCAACCCUAGCUUGAGGAGCUUAAUGAUUGAGCUAUUUGCUCUUCGUUUCGUUUGGGUGACCCUAUUUUUGAUGUUUCUAGGGUACCAGGGAGCUUGUGGAUACCUUCGUUCGGCGAAACGAAGAAGUUGAUUUUGGUGGGUUUGACUUCAUGAAAAUGGGGCAAAAUGGCUCCUAUGCCUUCUAACCCUUUUGUAAAGUAUUUUUGAAUGCAAAUUUAUGCUAAACAUGAUUUAUAUGAAUUUUAGAACACUUAACAUGCAUGCCUCAGGUAUCGUAAAAUUUGUACUCCAUAUAGUAGAGCUAUAUGUGUAGAUUGCAUGCAUUGUGGAUAGUGCUUGGUUUCGCAAGUUGAGAACAUGUCUCCAUGCUAGAAUUGAGUGAACUAUGCAUCAUGAACAUAUUAAUGCCAUGCUUGGGACUCGUUGAACAAAAGUGUCAUAAAGGGGCACUUAGGAUUAGUAAACUAUGAAACUGCAACAUAGAGACAUAUCGAUAGGCCACUAUUUAUCCGCUACAUUCCAUGUUAGAGACAUGAUGACAUAGGGAUAGGUCAUUGGGAUACUUGACACAUUCCAUGCUAUUAGACAUGAGGAUUUGAUACUUGCGAUAGAUCGUUUGACUACUUGCCAUUGUGCUUAUUCGCACAUGCUUGUGAGGGUCGCUCCCUACAAGCCGGCACUCCGGAGAUAGCCAUCGCGAUUCGUAUUCACCGUGCGGGAUUGGGCGCCGAAAUGGAUCGCCGUGGGACAGGCUCAUUUCUAGGGUGGGAAUGAUGACUACCACGGGGCCAUUAGGCUCGGCACUGGCCAGACAGCCUACGGGUGGGUCUCAGGGCCAUAGACAGCCUUCGGGUGGGUCUCUUCAGAUUUGACUUUGAGUAUUCAUUAUGACAUGUGGACAGAUGAUGACUUAGUGUACUACUUGGACAUUGGCUAGAAUAGUAAACAACGGAGCUUCACUAUUCGCAUUGUGAACAUUAUGAUAGUUAGAGACUUUUACUUCAUGCAUAGUUGCUUCAUACUUAUGCUAUUUAUGCUAAGUAGAGAUAUCAUGUUGUAGUAAGUUACAUUUUACUUACCUUUCGCUUUUCUACAUUUAUAGUUACUGACAUCUUUUGUAGCUUUGGGCCUUGUGGUGCAAUCACUGAAGUCAGUAAUUGCCCACUGGGAACUAUUUUUAAUAGUUCUCACGCCCCUGUUUUAUGGUUUNGCGUAAGGCGUGUUAGUGGAGUUGUUAUCCUAGCAAACCCUUCCACGAACCGCCGGUAGUAGCCCGCAAGUCCAAGGAAGCUAUGAAUUUCCACCACACUUGUCGGGCGAGGCCAAUCUUUAAUCGCCUCAACUUUCUUUGGGUCCACCGAGAUGCCUUCACUGGAUAUAACGUGACCCAAGAAGGUAAUCUCCGAAAGCCAAAACUCACACUUCUUGAGUUUUGCAUACAGCUUUUCCUUCCGGAGUAUAUCCAACACAAGCCUUAAAUGCUCAUCGUGUUCUUCCUUCGUCCGAGAAUAUACCAAUACGUCGUCAAUGAAAACCACGACGUACCAGUCCAAUAGCGGACGGAAGACUCGAUUCAUCAAGUCCAUAAAGGCUGCCGGGGCAUUGGUAAGCCCAAACGACAUCACCAUGAACUCAUAGUGGCCAUAUCGCGUACGGUACGCUGUUUUGUGCACAUCCUUGGGCCGUAUCUUCAAUUGAUGAUACCCCGACUGAAGAUCAUUCUUAGAAUAUACCCUUGACCCUUGCAACUGAUCGAAUAGAUCGUCAAUCCUUGACAAUGGGUAUUUAUUCUUAAUCGUCACCUUGUUCAACUCGCGAUAAUCAACGCAAAGUUGAAGAGUGUCGUCUUUCUUCUUCACAAAUAGCACCGGAGCUCCCCACGGAGACACACUCGGCCGCACGAAGCCUUUAUCGAGCAAGUCUUGCAACUGGGCUUUUAGCUCCUUUAACUCUACCGAUGCCAUUCUAUACGGAGCCUUCGAAACCGGCGCCGCCCCAGGAAUCAAGUCAAUGACAAAUUCGACUUCCCGGUCCGGUGGCAAUCCCGGUAACUCCACCGGAAAUACAUCCGGAUACUCGCAUACCACCCGAGUACUUUCCAAUUCCGGGUGCUCCUUUUGAGGGUCCACGAUAGUCGCCAAGUAGGCCUUGCAACCACCCUUAAUCAUUUUCUUUGCCCUCACCAAUGAUAUGGUCGCCGCAAAAUGCGCACCAUUACACGCCUUAUAAACCAUCUCCUCUUGGUUAGGCUCACGGAAAGUGAUCACCUUCCUUUUGCAAUUGAUAACCGCGUAAUACUUGGAGAGCCAGUUGGUAACCAAGAUUACGUCAAACCCCACAGAUGCUUCAACACUAAUAGGUUGAUCGACAUGACCCAAUCGCCUAUCUGCACUGGGCAGUCCAAAUACUCGUCAUGCACAUGAAACGUAAGUCCAGGUGCUGUCACCGUCCAAUAAUCCUCAUAAUGCGUGACCUCUAUGUCAUGAGCUAGUGCAAAUGAUGCUGUUAUGAAUGAUUGAGAUGCACCUGUGUCAAAUAUGGCUCUAGCCCUAGUGCCUCUGAUAAGGAUAAUACCUGCCACGACGUCGUCGAGAACGGUAAUCGGCGGCUCCUCCACCUGAGUGGCAAAUACCCGCCCACUAGGUGCUCGAGAGGCCUCCGGCUGACGAGGCACCGACGAUCGUCCAGCAGACGUAGCGGGUGGUAGUCCCGCCAGCUGUCGCUGAGUGUACUAAACUAAAGCUGAUGACGGAGCUGGAGAUGCGCCGCCCGGGCACUCUCGGCCUAUAUGUCCCGGUUGGCCGCAUCGGUAACACCGCCCCUCCCGCUGUAGGCAAGUAGUAACUCGGUGGUCUCCGCCACAUAUCACGCACGGGUAGGUAGUCUGGCUCUGAGACUGAUUCCUGCCUCCCCGCCACUACGAUCACUGUUGCCACAGGGGUCGCUUAGAACUCGACUGCCCCGGAGAUCCACUAGACGUCCGCUUCUUGGACUUGUCCUUUUUCCUAUCCUUCUCAAAUGCCUCGCGCUCGUCUCACGCAAUGGCAUUGCCGCACUCCACCCAAAAUGCGCGAUCAAGCACUUCCUCGUAGGUCUUUAACCGGAAGGCGUGAAUGACCUUGAAAAUCUCGGGUCGCUACCCGCGCUCGAAUGCCUCCGCCCGGUCCCUAUCGCCAUAAACCAAGCUCGACACGCAAUUGACGAGGUGCGUGAACUCCCGUUCAUACUCCCGCACCAUGCGACUUCCUUGCCUUAGCUUCCGAAAAUCCUCCUUGAUUUUUCUUUUGUCACUCUCGAAAAAAUACUCCAUAAGUAGCAUCUCCCGAAACGUCUCCCAAGUAAUAGAAGUGUGCUCCAACGAAUGAUUCUUCUUUGCCCGAGUCCACCACAACGGUGCAGACUCGUCGAAACAAUGAGCCACAAGGUGAACUUUAUCCUUCUCGAGGGUGUAGAUAUCCUCGAACAAGGCCUCCAUCGCGGCUAGCCAACUCUCCGUCACCCACAGGUCCUUCACAUCGCCGUUGAAGGUCAGAGGGUUGAAUCGCUUGAAUGCCGUCAACGCCGCCAACAUGCGCUCCUGCUCGGCCUCAAGUACAUCAGGAAUAGAAGCCGAUGAACCCGAUGCCGUCGGAGGAAUAGCCGUCACCGGUGCUGCCGCCACCGCAGGAGGUGGUGCUACAGGAGCAGCAGGUGCGGGCGGAUCCCUCGGCACAAAUACCGCCGCUGCCGCCUGUCGCGCCAUCAUCUCGUGGAGCUGUCCAAUCUGCUCCCCUUGUAGCUGCAUAGCCCCGGCCAAUGCCGCUACUUGGGCUCGGAGCUCGCGCACUUCAUCCGAUCCCGUCUGCUCGGGCACUUCAUCAAGCAGUGUCGAAGCGACUCUAUGUGUGUAGCGUCUGAAACGCAGCACACGCAUUAGUACUCAACACACGUGAUUCUUACACGUUCCAAAUAACUACCCAAUUAAGCGAAAGCAACCAAACAUAAUUAUUUCCAACUCUCGGUGUUAUGUGGUCGGCCUCCCCACAAAGUCCCUUAAGUAGACAACAAUUAAGCCUUCUAAUCUAUCUCUACUUCCUUCUAGAGAAGUGUUAUCGUUAACCCAAUCAUUCGCUUUCGCAUAAGCCAAAUCCACGUUAAACGUUUCCUAACCUCCUAAGGUCUCCAAUUCCUAGGGUUCCUAGGUCAUUCCUAUACGUUUGCUUUCAACUUUGCUCUGAUACCAUUAUAUCUGUCACGCCCCAAUCCCCGCCAAUUUGAUCAGGUUCGGGUCACGUCAAAAGACGCCAAAUGGACAGAGCCUCCCCUGUCCGCCCAAGGCUCAAAACAUGUAUAAUAAAGCAAUCAAACAAUGAGAUUAACAUUUAUACAAGGCUUGCACGAGGGCAAGCAACAACGAAAGCAAAAGCUCUAAGCUAAUAUAUUCAACCAUACAUAAUACUUGAUUACAUUUGAACCAAAUAAAAAUAAAUUGAACUAUCACAUUUCUUUCGCAAUCUUUCAUGAUUCUUUACAUUUAGCCAUUCACCAAAAUUACAUAUUUGAUAUCAACUUUACAACUUUCUAAAUCAACAAAAGAAGUUGAUACAUGUAAACCAAAAGGGGAAUGACUACAAAAUAUGAAAUAGUCCCGGUGGCCGCUAUCUACGGCGCUAGACCCUUGCCUCGGUCCUCCGCCGCCCCGCUCGUGCUAGGACCUGUAGGGUUAGUAGUGUGAAAACUACAACUAAGUUCCCAGUGAGUUCAACAACCGACCUCGCCGACUUACCCACUAGGUCUAUUUCAGGCAUAAGUAUUUCAACGGAAAGGAAAUAGUAGCUAAACUAAUGCUAAUACUAUGCCUGGAAGAAAGAGGUCAGUGGAUAUAGAUAUGAAAGCAAUAAAUAUGCAUGCUUGCUUGAUCGAUACUUUUCUUUGGCUUUUACCAAUCUUACCAGUUAACUUUGUUAACACCAAUGACUUACAACCCAAAAUCUCUUUUGAUCGAGGAGGCUUCGAGCACUUCCACUCGAGGGACCGUCCUUCGGGGCCACUAUCCCCGUGGUGACCUACUCCGAAGCGCACCGCUUGAAGGGGAGCUACCGCCCUCAAGCCAAGACUUAUCGUGAAUAUUAAUCCGAUUCCCAACUUGGGAACGUAUAGCCACUAGUCACAAUGCCACUAUCAUAAUCGAUUUUCUACCUAUUUAUUCAUGCCACUCAUGGUUAAACUAUGUUUAACAAUCACUAUCUCAAUGCCAAUCUUGUCUCUAUAGUCAAUGUCACCUUGUUUACAAAGAUCAAGGUCCAAGUCUCAUAUUCAUACAUCUCUAGGGUUCUAGCAUACAUGUCCAUUAUGGUUCUAUCAUUCUUUAUAUCCAACUACAUUAUAAGCACAUAAAUAAAAUUACACCAAAGUUCACAUGUAAGCAACCCUAAUAUGCAUGAACGACUAUAUACAAUAUGCUCAAAUAAAAAGUGACAUAGACAUAGAAGGGAAUCCAACGAUUCCGGAAUGCACCCCCCACCUCGCGUGGUUGUGUAGGUGUAGAAUGUGACGACUCCCGAACUUUAUGAAAGCCGAUUUCGCGCCCUAUAACCAAAAUAGUGUCAUAAUAGGCCUUUUGUACAUGAACUAUACUCAAACAUUUUCGUAACGUCCAACGGAGUUGUCCAACGCGUUUAUUUGACCCCCAAUUAGGUUUCUACGAGGUCAAUUCGCCCUCGAAAAAUUCUAGGGCAAAAGCCCCAAAUUUGAGCCCUAACAAUGCCUUCUAGGGUUUCCUCUUAGAUUGAUCUUGUUGCUAAGCAAAAGGUAGCUUAGAAUCAUUUAGGAAGCAUUCUAAUAAAGUUUCUAAGCUUUUAGAACUAGGGCAUCUACCAUGAGCCCUAGUGAUCCACCAUGAGAGCUCCCCAAGAAAACCAUGGAUUUCAUGGUUUCAAGGUCAAUAGAGGGUUUCUAGGUUAAUUAGAGGAUCAAAACUCUAAAUCCCAAGGUUUAAAAUCAAACCCUAGAGUUCUACAUGCUAGAAAACUCACCUUAACCCAAGUUCCACCAAGCUCCUCCUUGUUGGAGAGCUCCUAGACCCACUAAACCCACCAAAAAUCCACUUCCCAAGCUUCUCCUUCUUCUUCUCCAAGCUCUAGGGCUAAGUUUCUAGAGAGAGAAAGAGAGGAAAAUGAGAGAGAGAGGUGAAGAUGGUUGUGGGAGUGAAGGGCUAGGGCAUAUAUCAUGUUGUAACAUUUGCAACUAGGCCCUCCCAACUUCAAAAUUCUGUAUCUACCCUUACUGGGCAAUUUUCGCAGUCGGGGAUCGAUCUCCCCGACCAGGGACGGGUUCCCAAACGUUUAAUUUCCAAGACUUAGCCGAUUUUUGGGUUUUCUGGCUGGCUGCACAGCGAGGGACCGGUCUGUCCUUCAGGGACCGGUUCCUUAGGGACCAGUCUCACUGCCAGGGACUGGUUCCUCAAGGUUCCUGGCAAGCUACGCGUACGGGGACCGGUCUCUCCUUCAGGGACCGGUCCCUCACAAAAUCUGGGACUUAACCUUCCCUAUAUAACACAUAUAUAGGCUCUAAGGCACUUAGGGCCUAUACAUACUCAUCCCACUCUGCGUUCCGCUCAUUCCGACAGAACUCGACACGAUUUACGGAGAAUGUGGUAUGUUACAGAAUCCACCUAUCCCUAAGUUCACAAUCCACUAGUGUCACUUUACACUAAGUUAUAUGCCACUCGUUCUGUUCAUUUAUCAAUCAUGUGCCCCUCAUUAUGUCACGAGGUAACCAUCGAGUCCAUCUCUUUUCCUCAGCACUAUAGAAUUCAAUGUCAAGACCCAAUCCUCAUCUAUCCAUUAUACCAAGCAUUCAACUCACACUAUGAUGUCAAUUAGAAAGCAUAAGGAAUGGAAAACAAUGCAAUCAUACAAUACAACAUGCAAGAGAUGCAAAAUCAUAGUGUGCUAAGACAUAGAGAGGAAUCUGGUUGCUUCGGGAUGACACCACCCACCUUUCGACGAUGUAGGGGUUCUAAGAACGUGUUUCGGCACUUGUUACGACGUUGUCUCGGCCUCCGAGGCGGAAACGAAGCCCAACCGGUCUUGUUUUGCCGAUUUCUUUUCAACGACUCGACGAAAUGUCAAUCCAUCUUCGCCAACGCGUUUAGACACCUAGCAAUUAGGUUUAGAUGCUAUCAAUUGAGAUCAAACCUUAUUAUUAAGCAAAGCCCCAAUUUGGAGCCCUAGGUUUGCAUCUAUGCAAAAAUGCCCCAACAAAUCUCUAGCUUUAAGCAUUAAACAUCUAUUAAGCAUGCUAGAGUUCUAAUCAAACCAUUUCUAGAGCAAGAAAUCUAAGCCCUAAGAGUCUACCAUUGUUGAGCUCAAAAGCUUACCUCCAAGCUUGCUCCAAUGGUGAGGAGAGGAAGAAGAAGGUGACAAAAGCCCUUCUCUAGCUUGCUUCUCCUUCUUCCUCUUCUUCUUCUCCUUCAUUUCCUCCUUCUCCUUCUUCACUUCAAGAAAGAGGGAGAGAGUGUUUAGAGAGAGAGAGAGAGAGAGAGAGAGUGUUGGGUGUGAAAAUGAGAGAGGGAGAGAAUGAUCUCCCCUCUAUACCCCCAACUAAUGCAACAAUUGCAUAAUAGCCCCUCCACUUUGCUUCUCUCACACUGCCCAGACUGAGCAGUUUUCAUGCUCGGGGACCAGUCUAUCCCUAAAGGGACCGGUCCUCGAGAGCAACCCUUGCGGGUAGAGGCUCUCAGCCAGCUUCUACGCGUACGUGGACCAGUCCUCGCCUGAGGGACCAGACCUUCAAGGAUCGGUCCCCUCUCGAGGGACCGGACCCCAAGAGCAAACAUCGCGCGCAAAAUUUUUCUGCCGCACAUUCAGCUUACGGGGACCGGUCUCUCCCACCAGGGACCGGUCCCUGAGAGCAAAAUCUGCAAAGUUGUAGAUUUCCAUUAUUUUGCUCUCCGAGGCCCUCGCCAAUGCACUUUUUGGAUUUUUGACUCCUUCGGCCUUUUCAAAGCGUACCGACUCGACAAUUAGUCGAUUCUGAACUAAGUCCAACUCUCGGAUUUCGAGAAUUCACUUCCUUACACCAGGUGCCGCCGCCGCCACUUGCUGCGCUACCAACUCCUGCAGCCUUCCAAUUUGAUCCUCUUGGCGCUGCACCACACCGACUAGUGCAGCCACUUGCGCUCGCAGCUCCUGCACCUCAUCAAAUCCAGAAUGCUCGGGCACCUCAGAAAGUGGGGCCGGAGCGGAUCUCGUCAUGGGGCAUCUCGUCUGUAGUGUACCAAGUCCUUGGUGCGCUAAACCGAACUUGUCAAAUUGACCAAAGUGAGGUAAUGGACGCUUUAGAGAGGUCCGUUGAGUGUUCCGAGUGAUCAGAAUGACUUAUAAGGAUAUAAGGGACCAAAAGGGACCUUGGAGAGCAAGAUUGGAAAAAUUCAAAAAUUUUUGUAUUUGGAGUGCUCUCAGGGUCCCGACCCUGCAUAUAGGGUUCAGACCCCGUACACAAGAAAACGUGAAGUUGAGCAAAAACACCUAUUUGUGUGAGGAGCUAUGUGCAAUUGUGCUGGGGAGUGUAUAUAUGAGGGAACUUAGCUAUUUUCCCUCAUUUCCCCUAACACUCUCAACCAAAGAGAGUUUCUCUCUCUCUUUAAAUCUCUCUCUCUCUCUCCUAGGGUUUGCUUCAAUAGUGGAAAAAAUGGUGAGCUUGCUUAGUGGUGAAGCAACCUCAUGUGCAAGCUUGGCUUGGGAGAGAGCUUGGAUUAGAGGUAAGCAUCAUGAGGUUUGAGGGUUUUUGGUUAGGGUUUUGUGUAGAAACCUUAGAAAUGUGAUAAAUUGGAACCCUAGAUGAUUCUAAUCUAUGUUAUUGCAAGAAUCAUGAUGAGAUUUGGAUUAUAAGCAAUAUAUGGAUUUUUAGGGUUUCAAAUGAGGGUUUUUACUCAUGAUGAGUUUUGAUCUUAAUUAGUCCCUUAAUUCCGCAAUUGAAGGUAAAGCUGACGCAGUGGACUACUUAGAUUGAGGUUUCGUUGAGCCGAGGUUGGUCGAUUUGGAGAAAUUGCCGUUUUGGCUUCGUUUGCUGCAGUCGGGAGAAAUCGACGAUGAUAAAUUACGCAGCUUGGCUUUCCCGCUUCGUGGCAUCGACACGAGGUGGGGGGUGCUAUCCGAAAUAGCCAGAUUUCAUUCUAUGUCUAAGUUCUACAUUUUGAUCAUAUAACAUCAUGCAUUUAUGUGAGAAACCUAUGAGUCCUUGGUAAAUUCAUGCUUAGUGUGAGGGAUGAUGAUCCAUGUUGCAUGAUACUUGUAGGUGUAUAAUUUCCAUGAUAUUGAGGUAGAUGGAUAUAUGUGUAUGCAUGAGAUGCUAGUGGACAUAUACAUGUGAACAUGUAGUGAGAACAUGUUAGAUAUGUUGCAUGAGAACCAUAUAUGCUCUUAUUGUAUAAUGCCAAGAUAGUUGUAUAUAUGCAUGUUGCAUGAAUUGCUAGUGGACAUAUAUGUAUGUGGACAUAUUGUGAGAAUAUGCUAGAUUCAUGUGAAUUAGAGAUGUGUACAUGAUGUGAGAAUAUACUAGAUAUGUGUGUGAGAUGCUAGAGGGCAUAUGUAUGUGGACCUAUUAUGAUAAUUGGAAGACAUUGCAUAUGUAGCAUAUCCUCACUCGUGAGAAUUGUGAACUUGGCAUUAUGAGAAUUAGGAUGUAGGAUUCCCGAGGCUCUCGGACAAGAGGACUUGAGCAUAAUGCAUAUGUGGCCGAUUGUGAGCAUUGCAUGCCUUGUGAUGGAUAGGGAUGUGGGAUUCCCGCAGUCCUCGGGCAGGAGGACUAUGAUCAUACUCGCGUCGUCUGUUGUGUUAGCGGAUACUCGCUUAGACGUCUAUUGUGUUACUAGAGGUCGCAUCUCCCAUUCUUGUGAGCUCCGGAGUUGUAUCACGGUGAGAUAGAGACGAAGGGGGUAAGGCACCGAGGGUGUGCCCCCGGCAGACGGUCAUGGUUGCGUGACAUUUGCGUGGCGAGUUGUGGUUCGACCUUCGGGCGAAUCAAUUUGAUUAGAUUCAAGGCAUGGUUAUGGCAUUUCAUAUAGAUGCAUACAUAGUAGAACAUUGAUAGAUGACAUUGUUCAUGACAUAGUAGAACUUAUUCUUGUUGACAUGAUUGGUAAAGGUAUAUAUAGCUACACAUUUGAAGCAUGAUAUAGAUGUAUAUGAGCAGGUUAGGCUUAUUGUUUAUCUAUUAUCUCUUUGACAUAUUAUCCUAUCUAUUGUUUCUAUGCCAUCUUAGACCUAGUGGAAAAAUCGGCGGGGUCGGCGGCCGAACCCACUGGGAGCUUUGUUUAGUUCUCACACCCUGUUUUUACAGAGCCAAACGUGAGCGCAUUCGUCGAGGACGCGGCUUGGGCAUCGAGCCCUAGAUAGUGUGGACCACCAGCAUUAGCUCACUACCCUCAAAUAUAUAAAGGAAAAGAAAAAGAAAUGUAUAACGCUUUGGAAAGAAAUGUAUAACGCUUCGGCCGCCAACAUAACCUCCUCGAGUUGAGAACAAAUAUUACUUGAAUACGUCUCUAUCAACCAUUAGAGACAUACUAGCACUACACUUAAUUGGCUUAACCUCCGCCACAAAUCGUAGAUCCGCGUCACUCACGCACCUAUGUCCUUAGGGUCACCGUCCUAGGAUCUCCUAAGUCCAUCCUAAACUUCUCUCUUUUACAUGAUCUGAUACCACGCUCUGUCACGCCCCACGCCCCGGGACCGCCAAUUUGGUCAGUUCGGGCGCACGGGCGGACCGCCGAACGGACAAGAUUUCCCCUAUCCGCCUAAGACUCAACAAAAAUCAUGUAUAUCUAGUUUGCCCAGGUAAAACAUAAUCAACAUACAUGAAUUGCGCGAGGGUAACAUAAACAAGAGUAAGAGAGAAAUACUAGCUAUUACAUUCCACAUUUGAAUAUUUACAUUCAACCACCAAAAUACAUUUGGUUUACACAAUUUGUUCCAUAAUACAUGUACAUCAUCCAAAAGUAACCUCUCCCAAAAUACAUCAUGUCCCUCGAUAUAAUACAUGGUACUCUAAUGCAAAGGAGGCUAUUAUCUAGGACGCUAUGCCCUUACCGUGAUUCUCGACCACUCCGUUCGUGCUAGGCUCUGCAAUAAAGUAGGAUGAGAACAAACAAAAGUUUCCAGUGGGUUCGGCCGCCGACCGCGGUGAUUUUCCCACUAUGUCUAAGCAGGCAUAAGUAGAAAGGUUAGCACAUAAUAAAAAACUAGUAUGCUACUAUACCUCAACAAUAUGAUACAAUAAACAGGUACAAUAAACAGGUACGUACUAGCAACUAAUUUUCAUUAAAUUAUGCAAGGGCUUUUUUUUGCAUAAAUUAAAUUAAAAAUAUUAAUUUAUGCAAGGAUUUUUUUGCAAAUGGCCUCCUGAAAAAUAUUUAUUUUAAAAUUAGCCCUGUCAAAAUUUAAUUUGCAAAAAUGGCCCUGGCCCUGCCGCGCAGGCGCCACAUCAGCGCCACGCGGGCAGGGCUGGGGCCAAUGUGUUAAGUUUGAACACGGUGAACCAUUCACCGUGUUCAAACACGGUGAAUGAUUCACCGUGUUUCAUAUUUAUGUUUCUUUUCUUCUUUUUUAGGGAUGUCAACGGGUCGGGUUUGGAUCGGGUUUUAAAAAAUCUGAAUCCGAAUCCGAAAAUCAAAUUAAAAUCCAAACCCAAAUACGAACCCGGCGGUAGGGGUGGAACUGGGCCGGGUUUGGGUCGGGUAAUACUAUGCCCAAGCCCAGUCCAAAUGAAAAUGUUGGGCUUCGGGUCGGGCUUUUACCCAAUUUUUUUUUGAAAAUAAAGGCCCGGCCCAAGCCCAAGCCCAAUGCCCAAUACCCAUUGCGCUUUGUGGAGGCCCAUUUUAUGCAUUUGUCAUAGAAUACAUAAAUACUUUUAUUUGUAUAAAAUUAAAAUAAAAUACCUAGUUUUAGUUAGAUCACAUCAAAGAAAUUAAUAUCUAACAACAAAUAUAUCCUAAUAUAGAACUAAAUAUUUUGUUAAUAUAUAAUAUAUCCUCAUAUAUAUAAGUACAUAUCAUUAAUAACNAUUAAUAUCUAACAACAAAUAUAUCCUAAUAUAGAACUAAAUAUUUUGUUAAUAUAUAAUAUAUCCUCAUAUAUAUAAGUACAUAUCAUUAAUAACAAUAUAUACUAUAUAUGAUAUACUAUAUUAUUUAUUUCUUUUAAUAGAUAAAUAAUAUAUAUAUAAUUAAAUAUUUUAUUUUGAUAAUUAAUAUAUCAAGCUUUUGGGCCGGGCUCGGGCCGGGCUUGGACAUGCCCAAAUAGGCCCAAAAUUUUUUGGGGCUAAAAUUUUUAAGCCCGGCCCGAACCCAAAGUUAUAUUUUUAAUAACCAAAGCCCGGCCGAAACAUGGCCCAUCGGGCCGGGCCUUGUUUAGGCCCGGGCCCGGUUCCACCCCUACCCGGCGGGCUUUUAAAAAUCCAUACCCAUAUAAAACCCAUACCUAUAUAACUUUAAUAUAUGGAUAUGGGUAUGGAUUUUUAAAAACCCGCCGGGCUCGGAUUCGUGUUCGGGUUUUAAUUUGAUUUUUGGAUUCGAUUUCGGUUUUUAAAAACAUGAUCUAAACCCGAUCCGUUGACAUCCCAAAAGAGAAGAAAAGGAAUAUAAAUAUGAAACACGGUGAAUCAUUCACCGUGUUCGAACACGGUGAAUGGUUCACCGUGUUCAACUUAACAUACUGGCCCCAGCCCUGCCUGCGUGGCGCUGACGUGGCGCCUGCGUGGCAGGGCCAGGACCAUUUUUGCAAAUUAAAUUUUGACAGGACUAUUUUUAAAAUAAAAAUUUGUCAGAGGGCUAAAUUGGAAAAAAGCCCUUUUCCACUUGGAAAAUGCUAACUGGACAACAGGGUUGGGUUGUAGAUCCUACAACUCAAAGAUCCAACGGUUGAUAUUAAUCACUUUGCACAGUAGGUUAUAAACUCACCCUCUUUUUUUUUUCACCUACUACUACACCCACAGUUGUCGCCUUCUCUCUCUCUCGCUCUCUCGGUCUCUCCACCAUCUCUCUCUCUCGCUCUCUCUCUCUGUUUCUCGCUCUGUCCUGCACACCUCUCGCCACUCUCUUCCGCACAGGUCUCACCAUCUCUGAGUUUCUUCCUCUCGCUCUCAUCUCUCUCUCUCUCUCUCUCUCUCUCUCUCUCUCUCUCUCUCUUGCUCCUCGCUCGCUCACAGAUCACUCCAUCGAGCGCUGUUCGGCAGGAAAGGCGGUAGGUAGAAGCUCGUGUCCGAAGCUGUCUCGAAGGUGUCUCUCGCCCUCACCUCUCUUCAAUGGUAGGAGGUCGCGUCUCAACUGCUCCACUGUUCAUCCCAGUACCUGUGACGCAUUCCUUCAGUCGUGGGCGUCCAAAAUUGGGAACGAUUUCGGAGCUAAUUCGGCCACAACCGAACAGAGGAUUCAACUCAAAUAGGGGAUAUUUUUGAAUUUCUAUAAUUUUUUAUUUCUAAUUUUAAAUUUAAUAUAAAAUUUAUAUUUUGAGGGUUUAGGGUUGCAACUUGGGUUCGUCUGUGCAUGCUCCGGAUUUCGUCAUAAGGUUUACUCAGCUGGUAUAUUAUAUUAUUUGUUGCAUUUGUAAAAAUAAAGCAUUUAUGAUUUUAGUGUUUAGAAGAUGCGCCCACAGUAACAUACAUAUAUUUCAUGUAUUUCAUAAAUUUUGCUUAGUUUAUGAUAGAAAACAUGUUUAUGGUUACCAGUAUGUAGAAAGGUAUAGAAAAUAUGUUUGGGGUUACUAGUAUAUUCUCUUAUUCAUACUUCUAUACUUGUAUUAAUAAUUAAUUUGUUUGUAUUCGUAUAUGUAUAGUUGGCUAGGAAUAUGUAUGCAUUGCAAUCUGUCACUCUUAUGCCAUAAAGGGUUUACUCUUAGAGCUUAUAAGAACACUCUUAGUAGAACACUCUUAUAGAAUUUGUGUUUGCGAAUAUAUAUGCUUGACAAUCUAACACUCUUAUGCCAUAAAAGAACACUCUUACAGCUUAAUGUCUGCUACCAUGAAUGACGCACCUCGCACGGUCGAUGGAUUUUGGCCGUGGGGUAGUAUUCAUAAUUCAGAUGAGUAUUUAUAUGUAUGUGUAGGUAUCAGGUAUUGCGAGUCCAUGGCUUCCAAUAGAUGCAAGCAUCUACUGUUAAUUACCCCCUUGAGAUUGGGGCACCUUCGAUUAAGAGACCUUUAUAUCUUGGAUGAGAUGGAUCGUAUCUCGGUUUAUUGAAUCCUAAGUAUAUGUAUUAGGAUUCAGUUGGAUUUGAGGUUGAUUAGGCCCUAAGUAUAUGUGUUAAGACCUAAUCGAUAUUAAACUCUAUGUAUUAGAGUUUAAUUGGUUCAUGAGAUAUGGGUAUGAGAUCUGGGUAUUGGUUCAUGGGAUUUGGGUAUUGGUUUAUGAGAUUUGGGUAUUGGUUCAUGGGCUAUGGGUAUUGGUUUAUGAGAUUUGAAGAUGAUUUAGUUCAUGGCUCAUAGGAUUUGGCCUAUGGUUCAUGAGGUUGGGUAUAUGGUCCAUGGGAUUUGGUCCAUGAGAUUUCGUCUUCAUGGUUCACUCAUGAGAUUUGGCUCGCAUAGUUUCGUUGUUGUUCCAUACGGAUUUGGCCAUAGGUUUCGACUUAUCGGUUCAUAGUAUUCUGCGCCAUGCAUUUCGGCUUGGUUCAUGACGAUGCUCCACUGGAGAUUUGGUUUUUUGUUCCCCAUCGGGAUUUUGUCCUAUGACGGUUUGGUUAUUGGUUCAUGGAAUUGGUCCCAUGAGUUUGGUCUUGGUUCAUACGGAUUUUUGGCUCCAUCGAACCUGGUUUUGGCUCAUGAGAUUUUGUCCCAUGAGAUUUGUUUUGGUUUUUGUUCCCUGGGGAUUACUGGUCACAAUGAGGUUUGCGUUUGAGUUCCAUGUGGAUUUAGGUCCAUGACUUGUGUUUGGCUCAAUGGAUUUGCUCCCAUGGAGGAGUUGGGUUUGGUUCAUGGAAUUUGUCCAUAACUUGAGUUUGGCUCAUGGGCAUUUGUCCAUGAGUUUGGUUGUUGUUUCACAUAAGGGCAUUUUGGUCAUGAGAGUGUGUGUGAGAAUGGGAUUGCGGUCCAUGCAGGAAUUUGGUUUGGCUUCAUGGGAUUUGCUCCGAUCGAGGUUUGGUGAUUUGGCUCAUGGGAUCUUGCGUCCGAUCGAGAGUUUGGUUCUUGCGUUCAUGGGCGAUUGUGCUCAUGAACGCUUGGUUUGAACUCAUGGAUGUCUGUCCAUGACGAUUCUGGUUUGGUUCAUUCGGGAUAUUUGUCCUGAACUUGGUAUUUGGCAUCAUAGUGGAGAUUGAUCUCAUUCGAGUUUGGUCUGUGGUUCAUUGGGAUUUGGUACAUGCAACUUAUUUUUGGCUCAUGAGAUGUUGGUCCAUGAGGCUUUGGUUUUAUGGUUCAUGGGAUAUAUUGGUCCCAUGAAACUUGGUUUUGCUCAUGGAUUGGCAGUCCAUGCAGGAUUCUCGGUUUUGCUUCAUGGCGCAUGAUUGCUCCAAUAGAGGCGGCCGGCUUCUGGCUCAUGGGAUUUGGUCCAUCGAGGGUUUGCAUUUGGGUUCCAUAUAGGGUUGGCUCCAUGAACUUGGUUUUCCGGCCAUUCUUGAUUCUGGAAGGGUUUGGGCGUUCAUUUAUAGUGGCAACUUGGUUGGUUUCGGUUAUUUUUGGUUUUGGGUUGGAUGUUUAUUUGGCCAUGACACUUGGUGUUGGUUAGUUUGGGGGGCACGUUUGCUUCUUGUAAUGGUGACUUGUUUGGCUUUGGGCCUUUAUUUGGGUUUGGUUGGACUUUAUUUGGAACUUGGUUUGGUUUAGGUUUGGGCCAUUUGGCUUUGAGUGAUUGGUUUGAUUUGGGUUAUUCUGCUGUUUGGGUUAUGGUUUGGGUUUGCGGACAUAGAACUUGAUUUAUGGUGUAGGUGAACUGAUUUCGCAAUUUGGUUCCGAUAUUGAAAACUUAGAUUGCAAUUUGGGAUUCGCAUAUCACCUACGUUAAUUUCGCAUUAGUAAGCUUCUGCGUAGAUAAACUCAUGCAUUUCAAUUUGAUUUGCGGGUCGAAGAAAGUCCUUUUUGAUUUUGCACAUAGAUUUUGGGGAAUCCGAAGAAAGGUCCACUACUCUGAUUUUGCCAGAUUGCAAAUUUGGGUCGGUCCGAAAGAAAGAUCGCCCAUUGAUUUUGCAAUUGAACUUUGGCGUCCGAAGAAAUCGCCGCUUUGAUUGAAUAUGAAUUGGGGUCCGAAAAUCCCCAGGUUUCGAUUUUCCGAAUUCGAUUUUGGAUUUCGGAGUCCGAAGCAAAUCCCCCGUUGAUUUGCCAUUAGACUCUAGUGGGGUCCGCGAAGCAACGUCCCGUCUGAUUUGAAUUUGAAUUUGAUUCUUAAUAAUUGAUCUUGAUUUUGGGUCGACAGAAAAUCCCCGUUUGUUCAUGAAUUUGGGGUCCGAAGAAAUCCCCACUGUUGAUUCCCAAUAUCGGAGGUCCGAAGAAAUCCCCCGAUUUUAAUCUUUGAUUUUGGGGUCCGAAAGAAACAGGGGAAUCAUAAGAUUCCGCCCUUCCCACUUCUUCGCGAUCAAUUCAUUCCCAGCGAUUGUUAUAGUGUCGUCCGGAAGCUUGUGACUGGUGGACGGAUCUGUUCGGAAUCCGCAAUUUGAUUUUGACAUAUGUUGAAGAAUAUUGAAGGGCGUUCCGAAAGAAAAGCGGGCGAUCAAAGAUUCCCUCCCAUCUUCUUGUCCGAAAAGGUUAAAUAACGCCUGAAUUGUAGAUGUCGUCGCCGGAGUUGUUCAACGAGUGGCAGUGGAAUCUGUUCGGACCGGCCAAUUUGGUUUCGAUAUUUAUGAACGAAAUGUGAAGGGUCCGAAGAAACAGGGAAUCAAGAUCCCGCCUCCCCAACCGCUUGGACCUCCCUUUCUUCGCGAACGUCAUCAAACCGCGGUUCACGUUUGUCAGAUGAUGUCGACUCGAAGUUUGAUCGACGGUAGUGCGGAUACUUGUUGGGCCGUACGAUAUAAUGAUUGAGACAUUUUCAGAUCAGAAUCAUUGCAAGGGUCGCCACCAGAAACGGGGAAUCAAAAGAUGUUCCCCCUCCCGUCAAUCUCUUUUCUAUCAACUCGCCGUGCUCCGGUGUCGUCCGUAGCUGUGACGAUGGCGUGAUCUUUGUCCACCAUCAAAUUUGAUUUGAUAUUUUCGAAGAAAAUGUUGCAAGGUCCGACGAAACAGGGAAUCAAAAAUCCCUCCCCUAUUCUUCGAAGUAUCAAACCAUACGAUGUUAGGGUGGUCGCAGGCCAUGUUAGAGUCAUCAAUUCAUAUCAACCGGGCUAUCGACAUGGGUAAGUUGAGAGGUCCGAUGAAAUGGGGAAGUCGAAAGAUUCCAUCCACUCUCAACCACCCGAAGCCAUCUAGAUAUAUGGAUGGUAUACGAUCGCAGGCACAAAGAAAAAAGAAAAGGGGGGGGGAGAAAAGAGAUCUUUUUUUUUGACUUAUUUUCUUUCUUUUUUUCUUUCUUUUUUUUUAAUUAUGUUUUCUUUGUUUCUUCUUCAUUUUUCUUUCUCUUUCUUUUUUUUUUUUUUACCUGUUGAUCAAAUGAUGAAUUGGAUGAAGCAGCUCAACGAUUUCUCGUUCUUUCCGCGGCUCGGCGAUAUCUCCUCCUUUCAGCGGCUUGGCGAUAUCUCCUCCUUUCAGCAGCUCGGCGAUAUCUCCUCCUUUCAGCGACUCGGCGAUAUCUCCUCCUUUGAAUAUUUUGAACGUGGAAAUGUGUGUAGCAAUCUAUCUCUCUUUUUGUCUCUGUCCAAAAAAAAGUUCCCCGAAUUUGAUUUCGGUUCCCGUAUUUAUAAUGGGAGGGGAGGGGUUAGUUAAGAAUUCAAAAUUCGAAAUUCGAAUUUUGAAUUAUUUGUUGGAUGAUUGGAGGAUAUUUGGGGAGUGGUUGGGAAUUAAAUUUUGAAUGAGUUGUUGGAUAGUUGGGAGAUAUUGUGGGAGUUGGUUGAAGGUUCGAAAUUCGAAAUUCGAAUUUUGAACGGAUUCUCCAAAGUUGAGCAGGAUGCAAAAAAUUUUCUAAUUUCCCCACCUAUUACAAAGUUCGUCAAUCUGACUAUACAUGUAGUGAUUAGUUAACAUUAAAUAUCUUUGGCAAAAUAUUCUACCUUAACUUGACAGCAAUUCCUUUCUUUCGUAUUAUUAAUUAAAUUUUCUUUUUAUAGGGGACUCAUAUGGCAAGAUGAUACAAAAGGAUCAGAUUCGCCUUCUGUUAGCGGUCAAGUCCUCCUUGAUUACUUAUUUGGAGGCCCGACGCGCGACGAGGUUAGUGCUGCCACAGAUUAUGCAUUGUAGUUAGCGCUUGUAGCUUGUUUUAUACAUAUCUAAUUAUAUAUAUAUAUUAUUCUAAUUCUCUUUGUUUUGCUGACUUUCUUAUUUAGGUGAUUAAUGUAUAUUUCCAUAUAAUUGAUAAGCUCGAUUGUAUGGGUGUACAUAAAUUUAGUCAACUGGAUAUUUUCUUGCGAACUGAAGUUGCGGUGAGUUUGAUACUUUCACUAUUAAAUUAGUUGUUAUCUAUUUCUCUCUUGUUCUCUAUUUCUGUAAGCAAACUUAAAGAAAUAUAAAAGUGAGUUACAAUGGAAGAAAAAAUAUGUGUUGAAGUCCGAAUCCCAAUUUGUUGAAUAAUAUUGAUUAGCUCCUGUUCCAUAAUCUGUGAACAUAUGAAUUGUCCAAAUAAUAGCAUUUGAGUUUCCCACAAGGUUUCGUAAGGCAUCUUGCUAUCUUGAUUCCUAUAUCUAUGCAGAUGCACAUACUCAAUAAGAUGCAGGGAUUUGGAAAGGAUAAGACAGCAACAGCUGAUUUUUUGAGGGAUGUGGUAUUUGGAUCCACAUCUAUACGUCACUUUCUGGAUAAAAUAAAUACACAUACCUGCAGCACUUCUAGAUAUGUACUUAUUCCCUUACAUAGUAAUUGGCAUUGGCAUUGGCAUUUACUAUCAAUUGAUUUGAAGGAACGACGUUUUGAGAGUUGGAACUCUUUGUGGAGCCAUAGCGGGGCACAGGAUGCGGCACAGCUGCUGGUAUUAAUUUAUUCUUCUCAGUAGACAGAGUGUUUUAGUUAUUUAUUCACUCGGCAGUAACAUCUACUAUCCACUUGUUUUAAUUAAUUUACCUUUUUUUUCUCUUGGACAGGCGAAGUGGUUUGCGUCCUAUUUUGAGCACACCCUCCAAAUCCCCGUCGGCGCUCCUGACGUCAUAUUUCAUAAGGAAUGUCAACAACAGGGUUCCACGGAAGUCGAUUGUGGCAUGUACACAUGCCUUUUUGCCGANAUCCCCGUCGGCGCUCCUGACGUCAUAUUUCAUAAGGAAUGUCAACAACAGGGUUCCACGGAAGUCGAUUGUGGCAUGUACACAUGCCUUUUUGCCGAAAGAAUCGUAAGAAACGGCCCCCCGAUCUAUCAUUGUACGAUACUGACCGCCACUCCUUCCGUGCUCAUAUCGUCAGUGCCAUCUUAAAGGAUCCAUAUUGUGUGACCUAUGCUUCUAUGAUCGAGUCCACUGUCGCAAAAGAUGAUGUCUGAAUGUUAUAGGAUUUUGCAAUUGUGACUGGUGUUGUGCAGUUUGUUUAUAUAUUCUCUCAUAUGGCUUGCAUGGCAGUGCUCCUUAGCUUCUCUCUCUUUAGCUGGCUUGGUUCCCGACUAGCCCGUCUCUCUCCCAAGAGCAAGAAUACUGCUUGACUAUCUUAUGCAAUUGUGACUGAUACAGGACAUUUGUUUAUAUAUGAUUGUGAAUGUGCAAUUGUGCACAUUGUGAGUGGUACUGGGCAGAUUUUUUAUAUACGAUUGUGAAUGUGCAAUUGUGAAUUUGUGGCUGGUAUUGGGCAGUUUGUUUAUAUAUGAUUAUGAAUUUAUUUAUAUAUGACUGUGAAUUUGUUUAUAUAUGUGACUGUGCAAGUAUGCACAUUGUGACUGGUUCUGGGCAAUUUGUUUAUAUAUGAUUAUGAAUGUGCAAUUGUGCACAUUGUGAGUGGUACUGGGCAGAUUGUGUAUAUAUGAUUAUGAACUUAUUUAUAUAUGACUGUGAAUUUAUUUAUAUAUAUGACUGGUACUAGGCAGUUUGUUUAUAUAUGACUCUGAAUUUGUUUAUAUAUGAUUGUGAAUUUGCGACUGGUACCGGACAGUUUAUUUAUAUAUGAUUGUGAAUGUUUUAUGUUUUAUGUUUAUAUAUAAUUGUGAAUGUUUUAUGUUGUACAUGGCAGUUUUUUAUAGAAACACUGUCACGCCCCGGGGCUCAGCGGAAGCCUACCCGGCGCGUGUCUAGACCCGCCAUACGUCUAAAACAUAUAAGGCGUCUACAAAAUUUCGAUAGAUAAAACACUAAUACAAAGAGAUCUAGUGAUAUCAGAGCAUUGUACAACUAGUCCUAUAACGAGAAAAAGGACAUAAAGCUGAAAGUCCACUAAUAAAAGCAUAAAGUAAUACAAAGGAAAUCUCAAAUACAAGUGCUAAAAGUAGAUAUAUAGGUGGUCUCUAUACAUGGAUACAAAACCUCUCACUCUCUCAACUAUAAAAAGAAAGAGCGAACCACCUAGGUAAAGAACCGCUCCUCGCUAGCUAGCCAUGCGAUCCCCUUGCCGCGAUCCCGUGCCUCCGCCGGUGCAGAAGGCUCUGAAAAGUAAACCAUAAAACAGGGGCGUGAGAACUAUUAAAAAUAGUUCCCAGUGGGCAAUUACUGACUUCAGUGAAUGCACCACAAGGCCCAAGCUACAAGGAAAGGGUCAGUGUCUAAGAACGUAUGAAAGCGAAAGGUAAGUAGAAUGCAACUUACUACAACAUGAUAUUUCUACUUAGCAUGAAAGGCAUAAGUAUGAAAGCAACUAUGUAUGUAGUAAAAGUUUCCAACUAACAUGAUGUCCAUAAUGCAAAAUAGUAAAGUGCCAAUGUUUACUAUUCUAGUCAAAUUCCAGUCAGUACACUAAGUCAUCAUCUGUCCAUAUGUCAUAGUAAAUGCUCAAAGUCAAAUCUGAAGAGACCCACCCGAAGGCUGUCUAAGGCCCUGAGACCCACCCGUAGGCUGUCUGGCCGGUGCCGAGCCUAAUGGCCCCGUGGUAGUCAUCAUUCCCACCCUAGGAAUGAGCCUGACCACGGCAAUCCACUUUGGCGCCCAAUCCCGCACGGCGAAUAUGAAUCGCGAUGGCUAUCUCCGGAGUGCCGGCUUGUAGGGAGCGACCCUCACAAGCAUGUGCGAAUGAGCACAAUGGCAAGUAGUGAAACGAUCUGUCACAAGUACCAAGUCCUCAUGUCUAAUAACAUGGAAUAUAUCAAGUAUCUCAAUGGCCUAUCUCUAUGUCAUCAUGUCUCUAACAUGGAAUAUAGCAGAUAUGUAGUGGCCUAUCAAUAUGUGUAGCACACUGGACCUUUGCAAAUUGCGAGGUUCGAGUGUUCGAUUGGUAUUCCGAACUUUUCCACACUUGGUGGAGGGCCGUCGAUGGUAUACCGGCCUAAAAGUUCGAUCUCGAGAGUUUUGGCAGAGUCCUGAGAGUUUUUACUCUCGGGGACCGGUCCCUGAUAGGAGAGACCGGUCCCCCAGUGAACAGUGCCGCGCAGCAGGCGAGGCAACCGGUCCUUGGCAGUUGAGACCGGUCCCCGAGCCCGUCUGCGCGGGGAGAGACCGGUCCCGCGCAGGGAGAGACCGGUUCCCGAAUGCUGGUUUUUCGGGUUCGCAGCGAGAGACCGGUCCCUGCUGAGGAGAGACCGGUCCUCUGGGCGAAAACUGCCCAGUCGGGCUGAUGUAAUUGACGUUUUGAGGGGCCCUAUGUGAUUUUUUACUUUACGAGCUAUAGGCAGCCUUUCCUCACCCUCCCCUCCACGUCUCCAUUUUCUCCUCCCUCACACUCCUUCCUACACUUCUAGAGAGAGAAAGGGAGCGAGAAGAAGGAGAAUGAAGAGGAGAAGGAUCUUGCAGUUGAGGCUUGGGCAUCAUCUUCUUCCCCCUCAUUACUCUCGCCCCUUUGGAGGUUUGGAGCUUGCGUUUGGAGCCUUGCUGGAGGAUCUAACUCGCAACCCUACCUUGGUUUUGAGCUUGGAUUGGGGGCUUCUCUUGAGGUUGGUCAGCUUAUAAUCCCUAUUUGAUCUGAUACUUGUUUCCUAGGUUUUCCUAGAUGAACCCUAAAUUUUGGGAUUAGGGGUUUAUUUGGGUUUUUGGAUUUAGGGUUAUGAGACCUAAUUGAUGGGUUUGGACCUCUAUAUAGGUUAGAUUGGAAGACCUCCUACCUUCCCAGUUUGCUUUGAGGUUUAGAGAGGGUUUCCAGUUUAGGUGAGUUUUUCCCAACCCUAGCUUGCGCUUGGUUAAUGUUUGAGCUAUUCCGCAUGCCUUCGUUUCGUUUGGGUGCCCCUAUUUUUGAUGGUUCUAGGGUACUAGGGAGCUUGUGGAUAUUCUUCGUUCGGCGAAACGAAGAAGUCGAUCUUUUUUCGGUGGGUUUGGCUUCGUGAAAAGGGGCCGAAAUGGGCCCUAUUGCUCUUUCUAACCUGUUUGGUAAAUUAUUUUAGAAGUUCGAUUUCUAUGCAAAUGGAAUUUCAUAUGAAUUUUAGAGGCACUUAAGAUGCAUGCCUCGUGUAUCAUCCAGAAUUCACUAUAUACGGAGAGCUAUAGAGUAGAAUGCAGCAUACGGAAAAGUGUUUAUUGCAAGCGAAAAAUACAUCUCCGUGAGAAAAUUAUGACUUGGAAUAUGUACUUUUUCGGAAGCAUAGUUCCAUGUUUUGACAUAGAGAACCAGAGUUGUCAUGAAAGUGGGCCACUUUAAAACUAGUAAAACUAUGAAACCUGCAACCUAAUUAGAGACAUGAUGAAGGGCCUUUUGUACAUCUGGCUAUAUAAUCCAUGUUAGAGACAUGAUACAUAGGGAUACGCCUUUGGGACUUUCGAUCAUUCAUGUUAAUUAGACAUGGACUUGUACUUGCGACAAAUCGUUAAGACUACUUGCCAUUGUGCUCAUUCACGCCACAUGUCUGUGAGGGUCGCUCCCUACAAGCCGGCACUCCGGGAUGGCCAUCGCGAUACAUAUUCGCGCGUGACGGUAAUUGGGCGGCCCGAAGUGGAUUGCCGUGGGCCAGGCCCUCGCCUCCUAGGGGUCCGGUGUUGACUACCACCGGGCCCAUUAGGCUGCCGGCACGGGCCAGACAGCCUACAAGGUGGGUCUCAGUGCCAUAGACGGCUCUUCGGGUGGCUCUCCCUUCAGAUUUGACAGUUGAGUAUCAAUCAUGACAUGUGACAAUGAUGACCUGUAUGAGUAAAUUUUCGGACAUUGAACUAGAUAUACGUCACAACAACGGCGAAACUUUACUAUCUUCGCAUUGUUGAACAUUAUGUUUAGUUGGAGACUUUUACUUCAUGCAUAGUCUUUCAUAGCUUAUCCAUUUUAUGAAGUAGAGAAUCAUGUUGUAGUAAAAAAAAGUUACAUUUUACUUACCUUCGCUUUCCUAGCAUUUAUAGUCACUAACCCCGUCUUGGUAGUUUUGGCCUUGUGGUGCAUUCCUGAACGUCAGUAAUUGCCCCUGGGCAAUAUUUUUGAAUAGUCUCAAAAGCCGCCCCCUGUUUUAUGGUUUCCUUUUCAGAGCCUUCCCAACCGGCGGAGGCACGGGAUCGCGGCAAGGGGAACGCGUAGCCUAGCUAGCGAGGAGCCUUACUUGCGUAGGAUGGUUUACUCUUUCUUUGUGUAGCUGAGAGAGUGAGGUUUUGUUCGCAUGGUAAUAGGAGACCCCAACCUAUGUACUCUACUCUUAGCCACCUGUAACCUGGGAUUUACUUGUAUUAGCUUCAUGUUUUCAUUUAUGGAUUUACAGUUUUGUCCCGUAUAUCUGAUUACGUAAUUUAGACCCAUUUAUUAUGGCUCUGAUACUCGCUAGAUGCCGUUUUUAGUUAUAGCUUUUUAUUAUUAUUGGUUGUUAACGCCUUCAUGGCGUUAGACGCAGGCGGGUCUGGGCAGGGCGUGCCGGGCGGGCUUUCCGCUGGGUCACGGGGGCGGGGGGCGUGACAGAUUAAUCUUGUAUCAGAGCCUAGGGUUUGAGUCUUUGGGGACGCUAAGGCCAACCUUAGGCCAGUUGGACUAAUAGGCAUAGGCCUGCGUGAUAGACGAGGUUCUAUUCGACUUGUGAGCGAAUAAGUAUCAUCGAUUGGGUUAUCUAUGAAACUGCUACAAAAGUUAGAGUUGAUUGAGUGUUUGGCUCCUAACUUCGCGGAGGGUACGUUGGCCCGGCCGACACGUAACAAUCCGGGAAGUCUAUGUCAGUGGUAGAACACUUCUCUACUUUCGCAUGAUUUGGGGUUUUGUUUUGAGCGGGGAUGUCGAACGCGUGAGUAUCUUCUAAACUUGCGCUUUAUGUCCUUGUAGUGAGGGAAUGCCCGAUUACUCCUCCAAAUCUUGCCGGGGCGGACCAAUGGCCAAAUUUGAGGAGGUCGAGACUCCCGCUACCUCCUCCGUCCAGCGAGGUCCGUGAGUUGAGGGCGCCAGCUUGAGCCCUUACUGAUUUGGUUUACUGCCAGGCCAAGGGCGGUAGACCGGCCCGACAGAGACUGAGGCCCCGCCGCGCCGACAGGAGGCGGGUGAAGCCUCUGUGAGGAGCUUACUGUUCAGCAGACGGCAGGGCUUCUAGGAGACGCAGGGCCGCUACGCCGCCUGGCACCCAGUUUGUGGACGUUGCACCGACGCGAGCGCCGUCCCCGCGCCUAGAUUCUUGCGCGUGCGGUGCCUAGCGGCCGUACCCCCAGGAAGGAGGUUUUGGUAGCACCGCCUGUGCAGAGGCCCCCGGUUGGAGCAGCUUUCCGCUAUUUUGGUUGGGGGGUGGAGCGAGAUAGACUGAUGGAGCGCCCUCAAUGAGUUCAGGAGGUGCAGUCCCCCUGAGUCUUUGAUGGCGAGAAAGGUCGACCACCUGGAUGCGUGGAGAAGUUGAUGCAUAUGGAGGAAGCUCUUCGCGACACUUUCGUGGAGGAGAGGGACCAGAGUUUGCUCGCCACUCACCCUUGGACGGCGAGGCACCGCUGGUGGUUGGACUUUCAGGAGCACCCAGCACUGCUUGGCAUCGAUCACUUGGAGCGAGGUUCAAGGAGCCUUCUUCUAGCGGCACUACUUCCCGACCAGCGUCAAGAGGUAAGAUGGAGCAGAUCCUGGCGCAGCUGCGCGCAGGGUGACAGGACUGUAGCCGAGUACGAGAGAGAGUUUUCCUCGGCUUCCUGCAUUGCGUGCCUUCGUCGUGCCGGGUUGACGACGAAGGACAAGGCCCCGCACUUUGACGAGGAUUGAGACCGUCUAAUUUCUUCGGUUUGUGCAAUCCUCCUAACCUCCCAAACCUACCGGGAGUGGUGGAUCGCGCGCUAAAUCGUGGAGAGCCGGCGCGGGCAGAGGUCCUGAGCAAGCGAGAGGCUAAGGACAAGGGUAAGGCCAAGAGGCCUGCGGCGAGGGUGCGAGCCAGACGCACUCUAGGAGGCCGCCGAAAGCAUCCGAGGGAGGCCAGGCAGCGUGGACGCGGCCCCCUCAUAGCCGCAUCCCGAGGAGGAAUCCGAUCCGGCGCCGGCCUUCCCCGUGUGUGAUCUGCGGUGGUCCCCCACUACCCACCCGCAGUGUCGCACCAGCGGGCCGGGCAGGUUUUCCCAAGUGUGCCACAGAGGGCCAACCGUUGCGUAACCGAAGUCCGCGGAGGUUCUUCACCGCACCGUCGACUGCACGGCACCCGCUCUACCCCAGCGUCAGGGCCGACGGAUCCUCCGUCGACACCAGUACCAGCCCCUGCGGGCCCGGCCAACCCGUCCAGCGCCAGAGCGAGGGAACGGGCUCAGACCAGGCCCCGAGUGGGCGCAUUGUCUGCCGCUUCAGACCUGAGUGAGCCCCCAGGCAGCCGAGGAUUGUGGUUGGCAGGUAAUCCAUUUUACUUGAUGGCAUUAGAGUUCGUGCUUUAAUGUUGAUACUCGGUGCAUCGCAUUCAUUUUAAGAUAUGGUCUUUUGCCGAGUUGCAAGGCACCCUUUGGUUCCUUUGUCGCAUACGGGAGCAUGUCGUAUGUACCGACCACAUCUGUGGACAUUAGAGAGUAUAGCCCCAGUUGCCCUAAUUUCGGGCUAGGAGACUGGAUUUAUCGCCUAUAGAUUUGCCUAGGCUUGCGCAAGCUUGGGAAUUUUUGAUUGUGGUCUUGGGCAAUGGAUUGGUUGACCAAGUAGUUACUGCCACGAUUGAUUGCAAGAAUCGCGACCGGUUACUUUUAGAGAACCCUGGGGCCAGAGACCGAGGUGGUAUUUUGUGGAUGCCGAAGUUCGCUGUUUGCGAUGACGAUCAGCUCGUCUCGAGCUAGGCAGGCUGAUCAGUAGAGNNNNNNNNNNNNNNNNNNNNNNNNNNNNNNNNNNNNNNNNNNNNNNNNNNNNNNNNNNNNNNNNNNNNNNNNNNNNNNNNNNNNNNNNNNNNNNNNNNNNAACAGAAAGAGAAUAGAUAAGAGGGGCCGCGUGAGUACUAUCUAUUUAACUACCCCGCUUAUGUUCUUAUUGUGUGUGCAGUUGUUUACCUGCUUCAUGAAAUGCAUCGUUCACUAGGUCCGCACAUCGUAUAGAAUAAGUGGCUGUCAGUGGACAAUAUGAUCAAGCGAUACAUUGCGUCUGUAGUGUAAUAAGUAAACGGUUACUUCAUUAUAAUUGCGAUUACCGCCAUUCUCUGUAAUUUACAUACAGUAACGUGAAGCAACUAUGCACUUACUAUGAUCAUGAACACCCCACACAUGCAUAUAAAGGUCCAAACUUGCAUCGAUUGGUAACCUACCCUCAAAGUCACUCAACUCGUAAUUCCGUUAACGAUCAUCAUUUGUGUUACGCUCCAUUUAGUCUAAGCUCACUUUUUAAUACUUUACUCAUUUCAUGACAUGUUCUGCUUCACCACCGCCAAGCUUCGCAAUCAUUAUAAUACCCAUCCACCUCAGGCUGUGGUCUUUUCGCUGUUGUUGAUGCUCGCCGUGUAGUAACCAUCUCCACUCUAGGAUAGCUUCCCCACGCACUCCUACUUCGGUCAUCCCCCCCAACUUGCCGUGCCCGGCCCGACGCAAUUCAUGUCGUCCCUGUGAUUGGUCUAUCUUCGGAUGCGCUGUAGGGACUUGAUCUUUCCACUUAUAUCAUUUCGUGGCACCAUCAGCACAGGCACCUCAACCCCAACCACUUUGAUUCCGCCUCAGGAUUAUCAUAGUUCUUGCCUAUGUCUAUAUCAAUGCAUGGAAAUAUUAAUGAUAUUCUAAUGUCGUCUUUUUCUUAUUGUAUCAUGUUCUCUAACAUCUGGGAAGUGCAGAUAUUUUUACGUGGUCAUAUUCAACUUAUGUCUUUUAUCGUCAUUUUUUUAGUUUAUAGUUCAAUGAUUCUUUUGAUGACAUUCGUUCCUGUUUUUCUAUCGCUCAAUUGUAUUAUGGCCAACUAUAUUUUUCCAUAGUUAAAUGUUCAUCUAUUCAAUUCUCAUUUAAGAGUUCUACUUCACUGAUUUGCUUAAAGUAACACUGUUCUUCGUUUAUGGCAUGGCGUUCAUAGCUGGAUUUAUAUUCUCUACCUUAUAUUAGUGAAAAUUGUUGUUCAUAAUAUACAAGGCAUGAUUUUAAGGUGCUCUAUAUAAGUUUAUAUAAAUCUAUUUGUACAUAGCAUGAAACUCUUAAAAUAUUUUUAACAAAAGUAGAUAAGAGCAAUAGGGGGCCAUUUCGCGUUAGCCUCGCCAUUUCUACAAGCCAAAUCCUCACCUUGAUGAACGAAAACUCCGCGUGCUGUUUCGGCUCACCAUGAGGCCGUGUCCCUCUAGCUCGCUAGUACCUCUAGAGGUAUAUUUGAAACAGUUCAUAACGAGCAAACCUAUCAAACACCUACUCAAUCAUUAGUCUAAAUAAGCAAGGUUGAGGAAAACUCAUUUCCCGCUAAGCUUGGCAAAAAUCCUCUAUAAGCUUCCAAAAGGCUUGAGCCCUCGCAAUCCAGACUAAAGUAGCUCAAUCACUCAUAGAGCUUCAAAAACCCUAGAUUCAAAAUCUGCCAAUUUAAAGCCUAAAACCUCAUUCUAUGUUUCUAUCACAAGAGCUCAAUAUAAAUUAAUUUAGAUGAAAGAUUGAGCUACUGAACCUUUAAGAUGCUUCAAACAAGCUCAAAAUGCUUAAGUUCCAAAGAGCUGAGCUCAAUCGGCGCUCAAAAACCAAGCCUAGCUAAACAAUGGUGAGAGAGCCAUAAAAGGAGAAAAGGAAAGAUAAUCCUCUCAAAAAUCCAUCUAAAUGGAGAUAAUAUCCAAGCUGGAGCAAGGGGCUCUCACUUCUCGCUCUCUUGGUUCAACACAAAAAAGCGCCUAAGGGGAGGUGGGUUGCUGUAAAACAGCCAAAUGCGAAAACCCCUGCAUAUUGCUUUGGCAACUGCCCCUGGUACCGGACACGUGCUCCUGACGGUAGAACCCACAAUAUGCAAACCCGAGCUCGGUUCGCGGGCUGCGGUUCUGUAACCGUCAGCCCUGGCAUGUAACCUGGUACAACUAUUCAACUUGACCGUACAAGGACAUUCUUGUGUCGGAUCAAUCUUGGCUGGCACGGCUACAGAGUGACCAAAAAUUCAUUUGGGAUUGCGUCGAAGUUCAAUCCAACAUCCUCGGAUCGUGCCAGGGUUGGAACAAUCAAUCAACUACCUCCAAAAAACAGUGGCAAAGGUCCAAACACAGAUAAACAUCUUGAAUCUGGGCAUUUGCAAGAUCCAUGCAUUACAUUCGCUCUAAUAAAGGAUUCGUCCGCUGGAACUCAAAGUGCGACUGUACCUCAGACGGGGCCCGUGGAAAAAAGAUGGAUAGCGCUCUUGCAGUCGAACUCUCUAUCCCACGGUUGCCUCGCGCGUCCGCGUGUUGCCGUUCCAAAGAAGCCUUCAGAUAGGAGAAUAGGUCGCGAUUCGCAGGCUUCUUUACUUUCGCGAGCGUAAUAAGUUUUCCAGGUUGCUCCUCGAGUCAAUGGCCGCGGACUCCACGUGGUAUAUUCACAAGACGUGAAGUGAUCAUGAUUACUUACCGAAGGCACCCGAUACUAUAAAAGACUGUGCAGGCCGGAUAGGUUUCAGUGGGUAAGCAAGUCGAUAUCCUACCGACUAACAGCCCAACGAUCUCAUACGGUCCCGAAUAAACGGGGGCUGUCACUUUCCCCGUCCCAAUUCUUUGAUCUCUAUCCGAGACUUCAAAAAUGUCAACUUGAACCAAGCUCGCCGUGUCGUCGGCUGUCUGCUCCUUCUGUGCCUACUCUGGUCUGUCAAAAUCGGUACCCGAGCGAUUUCGAACCUUGUCCUCCAGCUUCGCUGGAUCUACAUUAGGGCCAAGAAGCAAGUCUUCCUCGACUUCAUCCAAUAGAAGUGGCGAAUCAUACAUUUCGGUCGUAAAGGGCUUCGAAGGGCGCGCCAUUUGAUUUGCUUAUUAACUGUUGUUAUAUACAAACCGAUUAUUGUAGAUGCUAGCGAUACAUGCCCUGGAAGUCUAAUGACCAGCUCGGAGCAUAUCCUCUAAGGGAAUAGUGCCUCCGACUGUCCAUCACUCUGCGGUGAAUGCUGGUACGAUCCAAUUCGGGUGCCUAAGCGUCCUGUAGGCUCCUCCAAAGUGAAGCACGAAGCGCGUGUGUCGAUCAGAUACAAUCGAUGUAGGCAUCCAUGAAAUGCGGCAAUCUCAUAAGGUAACCUGUGCGAAGCUCUCUCGCGGUCCAAUACAGGUUAUGAAUAGGUAAUGAAAGUGCGCCGACUUCGUACAUAUCAAGAUCACCGCAAAUACAUCGAUGCCCGACUGGAGGAGAAAUCCUGUACGAUUCCAUGUGAUUUCUCCACUUCACACUGGAAUUGGCCAAAUCUCUAAGCAUCCACCGCGAACCGUGCUGCUGCUUACUUUGUUGGCAAGUUAGACAACGAGCCACAAACUCGCAAACGUCCUUUUUAUCCGGCCCAAUAAGCAACUUUAGAUCCUUGUAAUCUGGGUCCCGGAUGUAUAGCUAGGGCGGCCCACGUGCGCCUUGUUGAAGAUAUCUUUUUAAUUCCGAAUCCCCGACACAUAGUCGUCUGAAAGCGAUCACCCUCGUCGUCACCAGGAAUCACACGGAUGCCACAUAAAACUCAUUUUUCUCUACAUCUUUUGGCAAUUCCAAUCAGAAACAUGCUAUCCUUGAUUCGUCCAACAAGGUAGGUAUUGCACUAACUAAUGUCAAUCACGCUCAAAGGGUGUAACAGAGGUCACUAUCUUCUCCAACACCAACCGCUUCAUCUGCUAUCAACUGCGGUUGAGUCACAACAUGCAUUCGUAAUUUUCCAGUCGAUUUUUACUAGGCAUGAUCCGCCACCCGCUCACUUACCUUGCCCGGGUGUAAAGAAUAGUCAGAUCAUCAUCCUUGAGUAGCUCCAACCACUGCGCUGCCUCAAGUUCAACUGAUACGAAUAUGAGGGAGACGCAACUAUUCUGAGUAAUCAGUAGGUACUGUUUUAGCUCUUGUGAUCCGUGUAUAAUUCGCGUCGCUCAUAAAGGUAGUGGCGCCAGCUUCAAUGCGAAACUAGGCCGCGCAACUUCCAAUCAUGCGUCGGGUAGUUCUUCUCAUAUUCCUUAGUUGGGAAAACCAUCGCGAUCACACUGCCAUCCUGCACUCAAUACACAGCCAGUUCGUAAGUGAAGCAUCACUAUAAACCAACAUACCCUGCUCACAGCUAUGGUAGGCAAGAUCGUGGCCAUCUCAGUCUCUGCUCUCAACUCUUGGAAGCUUCAUCUCGCAAGGCAUCAAUUCAAAUGAAACUUGACCUUUGUGGCUUGAAGCCCGUGGGGGAAUUAGAAUAACCUUGCACAUCUUCAACGAAUCUCCGAGAUAACCGGCAAUCCAAGGAAAGGAUCCGUAUCUCCGUGAGUCGCGUCCGCAAUCCUUGAAUUUCUGUCAUAUUUUCUGGGAUCCACUGCAUAAUCCUGAUCCUGAAAUCAAGUGUCCAAGGAAGACUUACUCUCGAUAGCCAAAAAUUACACAUUUCUUCAACUUGUAUAAACUCCUUUUCUCGAAGUACUUGUAGCAGAGGGUACAGAUCUCAAAUGCUCCUCGUGAUUCACAUCACAUUCGUGAGUAACCAAAUGUCGCGAUGAACACCUACAGAACCUGUCUAAUUAAGCUUAAAACACGUCAUCAGAUCCAUAAAAGCUGCCGGGGCAUUAGUGAGCCGAACGCAUACGUGAACUCGUAAUGUCAUACCUGUGUUCUGAAAGCGUCUUUGAUACUCUCGGCUGAUUUCAAGCUGGUGGAUCCGACUGCAAGUCGAUCUUGGAAUACACACAUGAUCCCUGAAGCUGAUCAAACAAGUCGUCGAUCCUUGGCAACGGAUACUUGUUCUUGAUCGUGACUUUGUUAAGUUCACGAUAAUCCACACAAAGGCGAAGUGACCCGUCCUUCUUCUUGACGAACAAAACGGGUGCUCCCUAAGGUGAAACGCUCGGUCGAAUGAAUCCUUUGUCCAACAAAUCCUGCAGCUGUGCCCUCAGCUCCCUCAGCUCUGCCGGUGCCAUCCUAUAGGGUGCUUUUGAGAUUCGGGUAGUCCCAGGGACGAGAUCUAUCACAAACUCAAUCUCCUUAUCAGGAGGCAUACCUGGUAGCUCGGCUGGAAACACAUCCUGAAACUUGAAGGCAUGCACCAAUCUGAAAACUCCGAGCCGUAGACCUCGAACAAAACAAUCCGCCCGGUCCUGCUCUGUCGCCGCCACGUCCGGGACGCAGCUCAGGAGAUGGGUGAACUCCCGCUCGUACUCCCGAACCGUGCGGUUGCCUUGCUUAAGCUUGCGAAAAUCUUCUCGCAUCUUCCUCUUAUCACUGUCGGGGAAGUACUCGGCGAACAUCAGUUUGCGGAACUCCGCCCAAUCGAUCGGGGGAAGCUCCGGGGAUCGGUCCUGCUUGACCCUCCUCCACCAAGUCCUGGCCCGCUUCUCGAAGCAAUGCGCGGCCAAGUUCACCUUGUCCUUUUCCAAGGUGAAGAUGUCCUCAAAUAGAGUCUCCAUAGCCGUCAGCCAAGACUCCACCGCAGCUGGGUCCACCACCUCUCCGUCGAAAGUAGGCGGGCGAAACUUCGUGAACCUCGUGAGCGCCACGUAGCCGCGCUCACGCUCCGCCUCCUCAGCCACUACCGCGGGUGUAGGAGAACUCGAACUCGCCGGAGGAAUAUCCACCGGUGGGGGUUGCGCCACCACCGGAACCGAUACGCCACCCACACCCUCGGCCGCAUCAGGAGCGCGAACCGAAGGCGCAGGCGAACAGCGGCCUGGAUCCGCUGCCGCAGCCGCCGCCGCAGCUUGCUGCUCCAGCAGCUCCUGAAUCCUAUCGAACCGUCCAGUGAGCGCUGCAACUUGCGCUCGCAACUCCUGCACCUCAGUAGGCUCAGCUGACACUGGCGUCACUGGAGGCACGGCUGGCUCGGGCACCUCUCGAGGUGGUGCCGGAGCGGUCCUACGCACGUAGCGUCUCUUUGGUGCCAUAGCUCCUGAAACGCAAACAGAUGGUCAAUUACUUAACCCAACAUCGUCGUCGUAAUUGCGAAACAUAACGAUUAAACAACAUCAAUCAGGCGGUAGCUUGCAAGUGUCUUAAUUCUCGACUUUCGGCAUCGUGUUGUCGGCCGCCAACACAAUCACCUCAAGCCAAAAAUUAAUACCACUUGAAUCAUCUCUAGUCAUAACUAGAGUAACAACUCCAACGCCAAACCCAAUCAAUUAGCUUCCGCCGCGUCAUAGGUUCACGUCGCACUCACGCACCUAUAACCUUAGGGUUGCCAACCUAGAGUCUCCUAGGUCAUCCUAGACUCUCUCUUUUGCUUGCUCUUAACUCGCUCUGAUACCACCAACUGUCACGCCCCAGACCGCACCACCCGAAAACGGUACCAAUUUGGUCCGGUUCGAGGGCGGCGGCGCGACCGCCGAACGAACGGAGUUUCCCCCGUCCGCCCAAGGCUAAGCAACAGAUUGUGUACAACAAGUCCACAGAAAAAAUAACUUGCACUCAUACACAAUCCGCAACGAAACGAGAGCACAAACAGUGCUACAACCAACUAGAGCAAGCGAUACAAGUAAAACCAUACAAGUAUACAAAAGAGAGAAACUUAGCUAAUUGAGACUUAAUUGAAAUAUUAAACCUCUUUCGAUAUCCUUUAAACUUUAAGCAUUUAAUACAACUUGCAUUCUUUUUCCAGAUGAAUAUACAUCAUAAACUCUCCAAAACCUCACCCUAUACAACAUCUACUCUCAUAAUGUAACAAAAGUACAGGGUAGAGCUAAUGCAAGUAGGAAAGGUAAAGCUAUCAACCAAACAGCUAGGGCGCUAAGCCCUUGCCGCGAUCCAUCGAUGAAGGCCCGCUGUCCUGUGUACCUGUACCCCCAAUACCACACGGGGGUGAGAACUACGAAUAGUUCCCAGUGGGUUCGGCCGCCGACUCCGCCGAUCUACCCACUAUUGCACUCAGCAGGCAUAGGAGAUAUAUAUUAUGGCUAAUAUUAAAUAUAAACUGCAGCUAACGGAAAGCAGGUAUGUAAACACACUAUAGUCAACUAUCGCCAUUGGAAUCAUGAAUGCAUAUAUAAAUAAGCUGGUAAGUAGCAACUAUCAUAGUAGUUUAUCUUGACAACAUGCUACUAGUAAGCAAAUCAGCUGAUAUGAAAAAAGAUGCUACUAUGAACUCAAUCAUGGGGUAAGACUCAAUAGGUAACAAUCUCGCAAGGAAGCACAAGGUCCAAGCAAGAUCACUAUGCAAUCUCCGAGGGUACUAGCUGGUCAAUGCCCCGAUACGCUGCGAUAACAAGCGGCUAUCCGAGGCAGCAGCAGGCUGGCCUGCUAGUGCAAACUCCGGAGCCGACAACUUGAGGGGAGCGACCCCACCAAGCGCAGACAGCAAGUGAGCAAGAUCAUCUCACGAGCACAACAACAACCCUUUGAGGGUAAUAUUCAUCAUGGAAGACGGUAUAACUUGUACCAAUCUCAUUAGUGUCUCAACGACACUAAUGUUCUAAUAUCAAGAUCAUCAAAACAUAGUCCACCCGUCAUAGUUUUCUAGUAGAUGCAACUCGUCAUUUGACUCAUUUUUCAACACUAGUAACAACUAUCCUUUUGCAACAUAAGUCAUUUGUCAAUCUCAUAUAGGUUAAGAUUUUCAUCAAGCAAUCAUCAUGCAUACUAGAUCAUAAACCAACCAAGCAAGAUAUAUUUAUUGAACUACUAGCAUGCAAGUAUAAGCAACAAUAAUCAUUUUCCUAACCCUAUAUGUACUAUGCAUAAUGAAUCAAUUUAACUUAGACAUAGAAGGUGGCCCGAUGACUUCGGGAUGGCACUCCCCCACCUUAGGUGAUGCCAACAACACUCCGAGACGUGUUCUCGUGCUAGUCUUGUCGCCGCUUAAUUUUCGUUGGGUUAACUUCAACCCUUUAGCGCAUCAAAUGGCGAUAUCUUCGUGCCCACUCGUCGGAUCGACGAACCGUCUUCGCCUACGCGUUUAUAAGCAUAGAAAUUAGGUUUCUAACCCCUCAAAAGAGAUCAAACCCUAAUAUUUGCAAAAUCCCCAAAAUCAAGCACUAGGUUGAGCAACAAUAGAGAAUUCAUGGUUUCAAGCUCCAAAUUUGGGAUUGAACCUUCUCUUAAGCUUCAAUGGUUUCCCUUUGAACCAUUCUUAAGCAACAAAACCCUUUUUAAAACCUAGGUUUAGCAACAAUGAGAAAAACCAUAGGUGCUAGCCUCAAUGUGAGCUAGAUCCGUCAUCUCUAAGCUCAUUAGGUUCCAUUUGAACCAAUAAAAGCAACAAAACCACCCAAACCCUAGAAAUCCAAAACUAGGGUUAGAGCUUACCUCUAGGGUUUGUUCCAAAAUAAGCUUUAGCUUGAUGGAGAGGAGGGAGAAGAGCUUCUUGAUCUUCUCCUUGAUCUUCUCCUUCCUUUCUCUCCUUCUCUUCUUCUUCUUUCUUCCUCUUUUCUUCUUCUCCUUCCUUUCUCCUUCAACCGGUUAGAGAGAGAGAGGGAGCUAGAGAGAGGGAGGGGCUGUGAGAGAGAGAGAGGAGAUAGCUGAGAGUGAGAGGGUUAAGUCCUCUAUUGUAACAAUAUGCUAAAAAGCCCUCCAUUUAUCAAAUUUUGCAACUUAACCCGCUGCCUGCGCGCCCUUGUACCGGUACACGGUUUUUUUGUACCGGUACAAGCCCUGCGCGAUGGCCAAAACCGAGCGCAAACCGAGCCUCGGGUUUCUCUGUUUCGUAGAGCUUGUACCGGUACAAGCGAGCCUUGUACCGGUACAGCGCCUGAAGCCUUCGAACCCGAGAGCUGCGCAGCCCGGCUGCGAUGGUUGUACCGGCACAGCCAUCACCCUUGUACCGGUACAACAGCCCCUGAAUGCUGUUUUUCGAUCUGUUUCGAUUCCUUUUCGCGUCCAACAACGCUAAAACUAUUCCAACAUCUUUGGAACUUAUUUUUACUCUUCCAAAUUUGUUGGAACACCGAAUGGAACUUGUUCCAACCGUGCAAUCACCUACUUUGGUCCAUUUGGCCAAAGUUAGCCAAUAUCGUCGAAAUUCGAUAUCUUACACCUCAACCAAAGUAGGAAAAGCGGCUCCAACCGGAGGCCUCUGCACAGGUGGUGCCGCCAAAACCUCCUCCUGGGGUACGGCUGCAGGCGCCGCACGCGAAGAACUGAGCGCGGGGGACGGCGCUCUCGGUGCAACGUCCACAACUGGUGAUGGCGGUGUAGGGGCCUGAGUCUCCCUGGAGGCUGCCGCCUGCUGCAAUAGUAGAUCCUCCAGACGCUUCAUCCGCGUCUCCUGUCGGCGCGCCGCCUCAGUCUGCUGUCGGGCCGCCUCCGCCUGCUGAGUGACCAAAUCACUGAGGGCCGCAAGCUGGCCCCUCAACUCACGGACCUCGCUGGAUCCGGAGGUAGCGGAGGUCUCAACCUCCUCGAAGUUUGCCGCAUCGUCCGCCCCGGCAGAUUGGGAGCGAAUAAUCGGCAUCGUCACUACAACACCAUAAAAGCGCAAGUUAGUAAGAACCCACGCUAUCGCAUCCCCGCUCAAAUAAACAAUACCCAAAUCAUGUGAAAGUAAAGAAGUGUUCUUCACUACUAACUCCCGAUGUUACGUUGUCGGCCGCCAACGUAACCCUCCGCGAAGUUAGGAGCCAAACACUCCAAUCAACUCUAACUUUUUAGAGUUAUCAUAAUACCCAAUCAUGAUACUUUCGCUCACAAGUCGAAUAGACCUCGUCUCUCACGAGCCUAUUUCCUAUAGUCCAACCGGCCUAAGGUUUGCUAGGUCCCCUAAGACUCAACCCUAGGCUCUGAUACCAAAUUAAUCUGUCACGCCCCGGGACCCAGCGGAAGCCCGCCCGGCACGUGCCCAGACCCGCCAUACGUCUAAAACAUAUAAGGCGUCUAAAAACAACAAUAAUAAAAGCAAUAAUAAAAGACAUCUAGGAGUAUCAGAGCAUAAUAAAUGUCUAAAAGCUACAACAAAGGAUAAAGAUAAAACUGUAAAUCCACUAAAUAAAACAUAAAGUGAUACAAGGAAAUCCCAGAUACAAGUGCUAUAGGUAGAUACAUAGGUGGUCUCUAUACAUGGAUACAAAAACCUCUCACUCUCUCAACUACAAAAAGAAAGAGUAAACCACCUAGGCAAAGUACCGCUCCUCGCUAGCUAGCUAAGCGAUCCCCUUGCCGCGAUCCCGUGCCUCCGCCGGUGCCGAAGGCUCUGAAAAGUAAACCAGAAAACAGGGGCGUGAGAACUAUUAAAAAUAGUUCCCAGUGGGCAAUUACUGACUUCAGUGAACUGCGCCACAAGGCCCAAAAGCUACAAAAAGAUGUCAGUGACAAACAAUAAGGUAAAGCGAAAGGUAAGUAAAAUGUAACUUACUGUAACAUACAGUCUCUACUUAGCAUGAAUUGCAUAUGUAAUAGAGCAACAUUAUCAUGAAUGUACAUGGGUGUGUAUGACAUGCAUAAGCAUAGAAAUGCAACUAAUCCGAUGUCCUCAAUGCAGAAAUAGCAAAGGUGUCAUUGUUUACUAUUCUAGUCCAAGUCCACUUUAAUAGUUUUAAAGUUCACAUAGCACGUUCUGUCACUAAGUCCCAAUCAUAUAAGACCCACCCGAAGGCUGUCUGGCCUGCGCCGUGCCUAAUGGCCCCGUGGUAGUCAACAUCCCCACUCUAGGGAUGAGCCUCCCCCACGGCAAUCCACUUCGGCGCCCAAUCCCGCACGGGCGAGCAUAUGUCGCGAUGGCUAUCUCCGGAGUGCCGGCUUGUAGGGAGCGACCCUCACAAGCAUGUGCGAAUGAGCACAAUGGCAAGCAAGCAAUGAUCCGUCUCAAGAACCAAGUCCUCAUGUCUAACAACAUGGAAUAUAUCAAGUAUCUAAAUGGCCUAUCUCUAUGUCAUCAUGUCUCUAACAUGGAAUGUAGCAGAUAUGUAGUGGCCUAUCAACAUGUCUUUAUGUUGCAGUUUAAUAGUUUACUAGUUUCAAGUGCCCCUUGAUGACACUCUUGUUUUUCUAUGUCAAAGCAUGGCAACUAUAUUUCCAAGUACAUGUUCCAAGUCACGAUCCUCAUAAGAGGUGUACUUUUCACUUGCAAAAUGAACACCUUUCCCGUAUGCAUGCGUUCUACUCAUAUAGCUCUACUAUAUAGUGAAAUUUUUUUCAUAAUACACAAGGCAUGCAAUUUAAGUGCUCUAAAAUUUAUAUAAAUUCUAUUUAGCAUAGGCAUGAACUUAAAAAUAUUUUACAACAAGUAGAAAGAGCAUAGGGGCCAUUUCGCCCCCAUUUCCACGAAGCCAAACCCACCGAUGACAACGAAACUCCUCGUUCGCUCCCACGAGGGUGUCCUCUAGUCUCCUAGUACCCUAGAGGUAUAGAAACAUGUGUCAUACGAGCCAAACGAUCAAAACCUAGCUCAAUCAUUAAGCUAAUCAAGCAUAGGUGAGGAAAACUCACCGCUAGUGCAAAAAUCUCCUCUAAAGCUCCAAAAGAGAGCUUGAGCCCUUCCAAUCCCACCAAAUGGAAGCCUCUAAUCCACUCAAUCUAGCUUCAAAAACCCUAGAUUCAAAAUGCCCAAUUUAAGCCCUAAAACCUCAUUCUAUGGUUUCAUCACAAGGAAGCCAAUAAAAAUCUAAUUUAGAGGAAGAGGAUGAGCUACUAACCUUUAAGAAGCUUCAAACCAAGCUCAAAAUGCUCUAAGUCCAAAGAGCUCAGCUCAAUCAAGCCUCAAACCCAAGCUUCUAGCUCCAACAAUGGUGGAGAAGCAUAAAAGAGAAAAGGAAAAGGAUUAAUCCACCAAAAAUCCAUCUAAAAUGGAGAUCAAAUCCAAGUGGAGCAAGGUGGAGCUCCUCUCACCUUCUCCUCCUCUGGUUCCAGCACAAAAAAAGCCCUAAGGGGCGUGGGUGCUGUUAUAAAAAGCCCACAAUUGCGAAAAACCCCCUGCAGUUCCAUUCUGGGCAAACCUGCCCCCUUGUACCGGUACACGGGCUCCUGUACCGGUACAAAGCCCACGAAAAUGCAAACCCGAGGCUCGGGUCGCGGGGUCUGCGGCUCUGUACCGGUACAAGCCCGAUGGCUGUACCGGUACAACCAUCAACCUUGUACCGGUACAAGACCAUUCUUGUUCCGGUACAAGCUCUGCUGCAGGCUACCCGAGAGCUGACCAAAAAUUCCAGUUUCGGGAUUUUCGUGCCAAGUCUCAAUCCAACAUCCUCGGGAUGCGUGCCAGGGGUCGGAACACUAUCAACAACCCUCCAAAAACAGUGGAAAGGCUCCAAACACAGAUCAAACACUCGAAUCUUGCGAUUUGCAAGAUCCAGUGCAUUACAUUCACCCCUUCUAAAAAGGAGUUUCGUCCGCGAAACUCAAAAUGCGACGUACCUCAAGACUCCACCUGAAAAAGAUGGGGAUAGCGCUCCUGCAGCGCACUCUCUAGCUCCCACGUGGCCUCGCGCUCCGCGUGGUUGCCCCAAAGAACCUUCACAUACGGAAUAUCCCGAUUCCGCAGCUUCUUUACUUCGCGAGCUAAAAUCUUCACAGGUUGCUCCUCGAAGCUCAAAUCCUCGCGCAGCUCCACUGGUAUAGUCUCCAAGACGUGAGCUGGAUCAUGAAUGUACUUCCGAAGGACCGAUACAUAAAAGACGUCGUGCACGCCGGAUAGGUUCGGUGGUAGAGCAAGUCGAUACGCUACCGGACCUACACGCUCCAAGAUCUCAUACGGUCCAAUGAAACGGGGGCUCAACUUUCCCCGAAUCCCGAAUCUUUUGAUUCCUCUAGUCGGCGAGACCUUCAAGAAAACAUGGUCUCCAACUUGGAACUCCAAGUCUCGCCGUCGUCGGUCGGCGUCGCUCCUCUGUCUACUCUGCGCUGUCAAAAGUCGCUCCCGAGCGAUUCGAACCUUGUCCUCAGCUUCCUGGAUUACAUUAGGGCCCAAAGCAAGUCUCUCGCCGACUUCACUCCAAUGAAGUGGCGAUCUACACUUCCGUCCGUAAAGGGCUUCGAAGGGCGCCAUCUUGAUGCUUGCUUAAUAACUGUUGUUAUAAGCAAACUCCGCCAUAGGUAGAUGCUGCGACCAUCCUCCCUGGAAGUCUAUCACGCAUGCUCGGAGCAUAUCCUCUAAGGUCUGAAUAGUGCGCUCCGACUGUCCAUCACUCUGCGGGUGGAAUGCUGUACUGAAAUCCACAAUGCGGGUGCCUAAAGGCUGUCCCCUGUUAGGCCUCCUGUCCAAAAUUGAGACACGAAGCGCGUGUGCGCGUAUCAGAUACAAAUCGAUGUAGGCAACUUCCAUGGAAAAUCCGCAUAGAAAUUCUCAUCAACGGUUAAACAUCUUGAUGCGAGCUUCUCUCUCCCCCGUCCACAAGUCGUAUGAAUAGGUAGAAGUGCCGCCGACUNNNNNNNNNNNNNNNNNNNNNNNNNNNNNNNNNNNNNNNNNNNNNNNNNNNNNNNNNNNNNNNNNNNNNNNNNNNNNNNNNNNNNNNNNNNNNNNNNNNNNNNNNNNNNNNNNNNNNNNNNNNNNNNNNNNNNNNNNNNNNNNNNNNNNNNNNNNNNNNNNNNNNNNNNNNNNNNNNNNNNNNNNNNNNNNNNNNNNNNNNNNNNNNNNNNNNNNNNNNNNNNNNNNNNNNNNNNNNNNNNNNNNNNNNNNNNNNNNNNNNNNNNNNNNNNNNNNNNNNNNNNNNNNNNNNNNNNNNNNNNNNNNNNNNNNNNNNNNNNNNNNNNNNNNNNNNNNNNNNNNNNNNNNNNNNNNNNNNNNNNNNNNNNNNNNNNNNNNNNNNNNNNNNNNNNNNNNNNNNNNNNNNNNNNNNNNNNNNNNNNNNNNNNNNNNNNNNNNNNNNNNNNNNNNNNNNNNNNNNNNNNNNNNNNNNNNNNNNNNNNNNNNNNNNNNNNNNNNNNNNNNNNNNNNNNNNNNNNNNNNNNNNNNNNNNNNNNNNNNNNNNNNNNNNNNNNNNNNNNNNNNNNNNNNNNNNNNNNNNNNNNNNNNNNNNNNNNNNNNNNNNNNNNNNNNNNNNNNNNNNNNNNNNNNNNNNNNNNNNNNNNNNNNNNNNNNNNNNNNNNNNNNNNNNNNNNNNNNNNNNNNNNNNNNNNNNNNNNNNNNNNNNNNNNNNNNNNNNNNNNNNNNNNNNNNNNNNNNNNNNNNNNNNNNNNNNNNNNNNNNNNNNNNNNNNNNNNNNNNNNNNNNNNNNNNNNNNNNNNNNNNNNNNNNNNNNNNNNNNNNNNNNNNNNNNNNNNNNNNNNNNNNNNNNNNNNNNNNNNNNNNNNNNNNNNNNNNNNNNNNNNNNNNNNNNNNNNNNNNNNNNNNNNNNNNNNNNNNNNNNNNNNNNNNNNNNNNNNNNNNNNNNNNNNNNNNNNNNNNNNNNNNNNNNNNNNNNNNNNNNNNNNNNNNNNNNNNNNNNNNNNNNNNNNNNNNNNNNNNNNNNNNNNNNNNNNNNNNNNNNNNNNNNNNNNNNNNCUCCGAGUGCGUGUUUCCUCAGUUCAAGUAAACCUUACUACGCACGCUCUCUUCGAAGGUUCUCAACUUCGUCUCUGACUGCUGGCGGGGCUAGAACUGGGAUGGUCAUCGACCUCGUCCCAUACACCAAAUAUCACUACGAAGUGAAUUGCCUGACCCGGUGAGGGGAGUAGAUAACCUUGCAAAUCCCUCAACGAAUCUCCGGUAGUAACCGGCCAAUCCAAGGAAGCUCCGUAUCUCCGUGACGCUCGUCGGUCCCGGCCAAUCCUUGAUUGCUUCAAUUUUCUUGGGAUCCACUGCUAUACCUGAUCCUGAAAUCAAGUGUCCAAGGAAGACUACCUCUCGAAGCCAAAAUUCACAUUUCUUCAACUUGGUAUAAAGCUCCUUUUCCCGAAGUACUUGGAGUACAAUCCUCAAAUGCUCCUCGUGAUCCACAUCACUCCGUGAGUAGACCAAAAUGUCGUCGAUGAACACCACGACGAACCUGUCUAGAUAAGGCUUAAAAACACGGUUCAUCAGAUCCAUAAAAGCUGCCGGGGCAUUAGUGAGCCCGAACGGCAUAACUGUGAACUCGUAAUGUCCAUACCGUGUUCUGAAAGCCGUCUUUGAUACGUCCUCGGGCUUGAUCUUCAACUGGUGGUAUCCCGACUGCAAGUCGAUCUUGGAAUACACACAUGAUCCCUGAAGCUGAUCAAACAAGUCGUCGAUCCUUGGCAACGGAUACUUGUUCUUGAUCGUGACUUUAUUAAGUUCACGAUAAUCCACGCAAAGGCGAAGUGAUCCGUCUUUCUUCUUGACGAACAAAACUGGUGCUCCCCAAGGUGAAACGCUCGGUCGAAUGAAGCCUUUGUCUAACUGUAGCACACUGGAUCUUUGCAAAUUGCGAGGUUCGAGUGUUCGAUUGGUAUUCCGAACUUUUCCACACUUGGUGGAGGGCCGUUGAUGGUAUACCGGCCUAAAAGUUCGAUCUCGAGAGUUUUGGCAGAGUCCUGAGAGUUUUUACUCUCGGGGUCCGGUCCCUGAUAGGAGAGACCGGUCCCCCAGUGAACAGUACCGCGCAGCAGGCGAGGCAACCGGUCCUUGGCAGUUGAGACCGGUCCCCGAGCCCGUCUGCGCGGGGAGAGACCGGUCCCGCGCAGGGAGAGACCGGUUCCCGAACGCUGGUUUUUCGGGUUCGCAGCGAGAGACCGGUCCCUGCUGGGGAGAGACCGGUCCCUCUGGGCGAAAACUGCCCAGUCCGGGCUGAUGUAAAUUUGAGUUUUUGAGGGGCCUAUGUGGAUUUUGUUACUUUAGAGGCUAUAGGCAGCCUCUCCUCCCCUCUCACUCUCAUUUUCUCUCCCUCACACUCUUCCUACACUUCUAGAGAGAGAAAGGGAAGGAGAAGAAGGAGAAGAAGAGGAGAAGGAGCUUGCAUAGAGGCCUUGGGGCAUCAUCUUCUUCCUCAUUUUCCACCUUUGGAGGCUUGGAGCAUGCGGUUGGAGCCUUGUGGAGGAUCAAACUCCAACCCUACUUGGUUUUGAGCUUGGAUUGGGGCUUCUCUUGAGGUUGGUAGCUUAUAAUCCCCAUUUGAUACUUGUUUUCCUAGGUUUUUCUAGAUGAAACCCUAGAUUUUGGGAUUUAGGGUUUAUUUUGGGGGUUUUUGGAUUUGAGGGUUAUGAGACCUAAUUGAUGGGUUUGGAACCUUUAUAUAGGUUAGAUUGGAAGACCUCUACCUUCCAUUUGAGGAUUUAGAGAGGGUUUUCCACUUGAGGUGAGUUUCUCCCAACCCUAGCUUGAGUUGGGUAAUGUUUGAGCUAUUCGCUCUCCGUUUCGUUCGGGUGACCCUAUUUUUGAUGUUUCUAGGGUACUAGGGAGCUCGUGGAUAUCUUCGUUCGGCGAAACGAAGAAGUCGAUCUUUUUCGGUGGGUUUGACUUCAUGAAAAUGGGGCAAAAUGGCCCCUAUGCCUUCUAAACUUUUUGUAAAGUAUUUUCGAAUGCAAAUUCAUGCUAAACAUGAUUUAUAUGAAUUUUAGAACACCUAAUUUGCACGCUUCAUGUAUCGUAAAAAUUGUACUCCAUAUAGUAGAGCUAUAUGCGUAGAUUGCAUGCAUUGUGGAUAGUGCUUGGUUUUGCAAGUUGAGAACAUGACUCCAUGCUUGAAUUGAGUGAACUAUGCAUCAUGANUGGCCCCUAUGCCUUCUAACCCUUUUGUAAAGUAAUUGUGAAUGUAAAUUCAUGCUAAACAUGAUUUAUAUGAAUUUUAGAACACUUAACAUGCAUGCCUCAUGUAUCGUAAAAUUUGUACUCCAUAUAGUAGAGCUAUAUGUGUAGAUUGCAUGCAUUGUGGAUAGGGCUUGGUUUGCAAGUUGAGAACAUGUCUCCAUGCUAGAAUUGAGUGAACUAUGCAUCAUGAACAUAUUAAUACCAUGCCUUGGACUCGUUGAACAAAGUGUCAUAAAGAGGCACUUAGAAAUAGUAAACUAUGCAAAUGCAACUUAGAGACAUGAUGAUCGGCCAUUGUACAUCUGCUAUAUAUUUCAUGUUAUUAGACAUGAGGACUUGGUACUUGCGACAGAUCGUUUGACUACCUGCCAUUGUGCUCAUUCGCACAUGCUUGUGAGGGUCGCUCCCUACAAGCCGGCACUCCGGAGAUGGCCAUCGCGAUACAUAUUCGCCGUGCGGGAUUGGGCGCCGAAGUGGAUUGCCGUGGGCCAGGCUCAUUCCAAGGGUGGGGAUGAUGACUACCACGGGGCCAUUAGGCUCGGCACCGGCCAGACAGCCUACGGGUGGGUCUCAGGGCCUUAGACAGCCUUCGGGUGGGUCUCUUCAGAUUUGACUUCGAGUAUUCAUGACGACUUAGAGUAUUACUUGGACAUUGACUAGAAUAGUAAAUAUCGGCAUUGUACUAUUUCGCAUUGUGAACAUUAUGUUAGUUGGAGACUAUUACUUCAUGCAUAGUUGCUUUCGUACUCAUGCUAUUUAUGCUAAGUGGAGACUUUAUGCUAUAGUAAGUUAUAUUUUACUUACCGUCUAAUUAUUACAUUGUUAGACGCUGACCUCUUCUUGUAGCUUUUGGGCCUUGUGGCGCAGUUCACUGAAGUCAGUAAUUGCCCACUGGGAACUAUUUUUAAUAGUUCUCACGCCCCUGUUUCUAUGUUCCCUUUUCAGAGCCUUCGGCACCGGCGGAGGCACGGGGUCGCGGCAAGGGUGUCGCGUAGCUAGCCGGGAGAGUUUCUUUUGCGCUAGGUGGUCGCUUCUUCUCCAUUUUAUAUUUUGAGAGAGCGUGAGGCUUUUGGUUUCCAUGUAUAGAGAGACCACCUGUGUACCUACUUUUAGCACUUGUUAUGGGAUCCCUACGGUACUUACUUUAUGUUUUAUUUAGUGGAUUUACAGUUUUAACUUUAUCCCUUGUUGUAGCAAUUAGACAUUUACUAUGCUCUGAUACUCCUAGAUGUAUUGUAUUAUUGCUUUUAUUAUUGUUGCUUUUAGACGCCUUAUAUGUUGUAGACAUAUGGCGGGUCUGGGCACGCGCCGGGCGGGCUUCCGCUGGGUCCCGGGGCGUGACAGAUUAAUUUGGUAUCAGAUCCUAGGGUUGAGUCUUAGGGGACCUAGUAAACCUUAGGCCGGUUGAACUAUAGGAAAUAGGCUCGUGAGAGACGAGGUCUAUUCGACUUGUGAGCGAAAGUAUAAUGAUUGGGUAUUAUGAUAACUCUAAAAGGUUAGAGUUGAUUGGAGUGUUUGGCUUCUAACUUCGCGGAGGGUUACGUUGGCGGCCGACAACGUAACAUCGGGAGUUAGACGUGGAUAACACUUCCUUACUUUCGCAUGAUUUGGUUAUUGUCUUUUGAGUGGGGAUGCGAUAGCGUGAGUAUUUCUAACUUGCGCUUUUAUGUUUUGUAGUGACGAUGCCGAUUACUCGCUCCCAAUCUGCCGGGGCGGACAAUGCGGCAAACUUUGAGGAGGUCGAGACCUCCGCUACCUCCGGAUCCAGCGAGGUCCGUGAGUUGAGGGGCCAGCUUGCGGCCCUCACCGACUUGGUCACUCAGCAGGCAGAGGCGGCCCGACAGCAGACUGAGGCGGCGCGCCGACAGGAGGCGCGGAUGAAGCGUCUGGAGGACCUACUGUUGCAGCAGACGGCAGCUUCUAGGGAGACUCAGGGCCCUACGCCGCCGGCACCAGUUGUG